This 46125-nucleotide long non-coding RNA is filed under the name Gossypium barbadense (sea-island cotton). Its description in RNAcentral is "long non-coding RNA (GBAR_LNC008551)". The record is from RNAcentral. Lineage: Eukaryota; Viridiplantae; Streptophyta; Magnoliopsida; Malvales; Malvaceae.
AAUCCCUUCAUACGUACUAAAACGUGGUUGGUCAGAUUAUAUAUGCACAAAAUGCGAAGCCCAUAGUUCAAUUCCACUUAAAUAUCAUAAUAAAUCGUGUCUAAUUGAGAUUUAAGUAGUGGUGGAUAAUUAUUUUAGUCAUAAUGGGAAAUAGAAGGAAAGGUGCAUUUCUCUCUGAAUAGAGUCAAUACUGUUUAGGUACUAACAAAAAAAUUAUAGUCACAAAGUGUGGUCUUCACCAUUCAAUCCAACAAGAUGAGUUUUUUACAGAUGAUGUUAUGCCCCAACCAAACUAUAUAUUUGAAUCACAUCUUUACAAGGCUUCUGUUUCCUAUAAUUUUGCAUCUCCCAUCUCAUUCAGUUCUCUGCAUUUUCCUCUCAAGUGUGUUAAUGAGGACUAAGGUUAUUGCCAUCCCUGAUGCUUAAUCAAUUCAGAGGCAAGCCUCAUAGCCAGCUUGGAUUUCAGGCAGCAUUAGUGCGUUGGCUCCCCUCACAAUUUGUCCCAUUGAAUCCCUGCCCAUCACAGCAAGCCCCGCAGGCCGCAACCUUGUUCUUAUUGCACAACGCUACAUCUGUCUUAACUUUGUUGGUUUUCAUUGGAGAUGAAAUGUGUUUGCUCCUCAACUGAACCAAGUCAUUAUGCUUCCUAGUCUACAAGCCUCUUCCUAUAUUUUAACUGCUUGUUGCUCAAUUUUCUGAUGAAUCAACCCCCAUAAAAAACGGUUCAUUAAGUGGUCUAACCAAUACACAUAAAACACGUUAAUUAUGCGCAGCAUGAUCGAACUUCAAGAAAAUACAAGAGAAAACUCAAGAAAGGAAACUAUUCAUUUCAUUCAAAAGACUCUAAAAUCUCGUGAUCAGAGACUAGUCAUAUUUAUACAAAAAAGCUGUAUAGUGAACUAACAUUUUAACCGAUUAGCUAACUAACUAAUUAAUGAUAGGCUAAGCUGCUAACAAUUUGUACCAGAAACUAACAACUUAACUGAAACUGGCUAUCAGUUACAUUCACUAACACAGGACAUGCAUGAAUUUGAUCAAAAGGAGCUUUAUUACUUGAUUGAGCAAUUCGACAAUACGAGGAAUGACUGCAGAAUGUGUAACAAGGGAAGCACCCAAAGGCUGACUUACAUGCAACAUUUGUUAACAUAAGAUGCUAACCAUGCAUUGCACGACGCGAGGCUGCUACAAGCCCACAUUACGGCCCAUUUAAAUUUGUGUAUAUAUAAAUAAUUUUGAUUACGCUUACGCCCUAUUCAAGUUGGGGAUUAGGAUACCCCAGCUUUGAUAUCGAACUCACUUCACAAGAUCAAGUCAAAUUUAAGUUUUUUUGAACCAAGCUAGAAUAACUUAUGAGUAGGGAUAUGUGAUAAGGUACCUAGACCUAGUUGGACAAAUAUUCCACAAGAGGAAAGGAAAAAGCAGAAUUUACAGAGAGCUCUAUACUUUACUCCCCCUCCCCCCCCUUCUUUUGAUGGUAAAAAUGGGGAAGAAAGUGCAGAGAAGGAAUCUUCAAAUAUGGCCCAGAUAUUUGGGCAGAACCGAAGCCGGGACUUUAUGGGUUAGGGGGUCUAAGGUUUCAUGUACCUUUUUGAAUCUGGUGUGAGGUAAUUCCACCUUCUGCUUUCAUGCAAGUAUUAUAAUAUAAUUAGCCAAUCACUUUGAUAAAACAAGUGUCUUAAACAACCUCAAAUGAUUUAUUAUUAAAUAAAUAAAAAAGUGUGAGACAAAAUUCCUAAGGAGACAGCAUUUUCUGGGAAAACCUUGGGAACCAAGUUAAGGACAUGCAUUAAAUGAGAUAUUUCCAUGAGAAAAAGCCCUACAAGACACUUCCACACUUCAUCUUUUAAAGGCUUUUUUCAUAAUUUAGAAGCAAAGAAUAUUUCAACCAAAAAAUUCUCUCUCAACUAUGUAAAUUGUCCCUACUAUUUAUAUUAACAUAGUUAGUAUUGUAUUUUUUUUAUACUAGCAUGUACUAAUAUCAGUAUAUUUAGGUGUAUAUUUUUAGAUUUUUAUUAUUAUUUUUAAUAUACAUACAAAUAUAUCUAAAAAAUAUACAUAUAAAUAUAUUUAUAUGCGAAUUGAAAUUUUAAAAUUAUUAAUUAAUAUCAAUAACUUAAUUAAAUAAUUUAAAUUUAUUUUAAAUAAAUUAUAACAAAUAAAAAUAGUUAAGAUGAAAAUAUUAAUAUCUUGUACAAACCACUACAUAUCGAUACUAAUUAGUAUAUCCUAAAAUUGAUUGAAAUAAACUAAAACACAACAAAAUGCUCGAAACGUGUGAGAAUUUUGACUAAAACAAAAGGUAAACCAUUUGCUAUUGGUUUAAAAUUAAAACAAUAUUACUAUUAUAAUUGAUAUUGUGUUAGAUUAAAUUUAGUAUGCCACUUAUGAGUUUAUAAAAUUACAAAUAAAAUAUAUUAAUGAUAUCAAAAUUAAAAUAAGAGUAUCUAUGUCCUUUAAAUUUAUAUAUACAUAGGGGGGAAAUACUGUCAAAAGAUUACACCCAUAAAUAUUUAAUUUUUUGCUUUAUAACUUUCUUUUUCCAUAAAAUAAGUCCCUAAAUUAGAUAUUACGUUACACGAUUCUAUAUUUUUUAUUAUUUUGGAAAAGUUAAAAGUAUUUAUUGUUAAUUCUUUUAUAAAGCAAAAAAGCCAUGCUUGUUUAUAGAUGCGUGUGGUCAGGUUUUGGUGUCUGGUGUUUUCUAAGGGUUUUGAGAUAAGAUGAGAUCUCUUUCUUAUAUUUUAGACUACCAUUUUCUUUGCUUUGAGUACUACUAAGGUUUUAGUUUUAUAAUUUCUAUGCUUUUAAUGCAAAGACUGUUCUAGUAUUUUUAUUUUUAUUUUUUUAUAUUUAUUUUACAAUUAAUGCAUAACAUCAAUUUAAUUCAUCAUACUAAAUUCGUAAUGUAUAACAUAAAAAAAAUCUCUAUAAAUAUAAAAUCUUAAUUAGAUUAUGUUUUAAAUUUCAUCUCAACCUUUUUACUUUUUUUUCAUUUAUAUAAAAAAUUCAAAUCAAAUUUUAAUAAUAAUAAUGUAUUUUUCAAAGUUGGAUUUAUCUUUUAUUAUAUAAAACAUAUUAAAAUAUAAAAAAAUUAAUAUCCAAUCAAUCAAUUUAUCUUAUUUUUGGUUAAGUUAGGCUUGAGAGUAGAGGUGCUCAUGGCUUAAGUCGGGUUAGGUUUAAGUAUGAUACUAACAUACUUUAUGCUUGCCCAAGCCUAGCCCAACCUGAAAUUUGGGUAUAAAAUUUUACCAAAAUCCGUCUAUAUUUGUAAAAGACUAACCCAAGCCCAUUUUAGGCCCGCCCAUAUUAUUUUUAAAUUUUUUUAAAAAUAUUUAUUUUAUUUUAAUAUUUAAUAAUUUUAUAUAUUUUUCAUUUAUUGAAAUUUUUUAUAUAGACAUGUUAACAUUAUUUUAAUGUUUGCAUUAGAGUAUUAUUAUAUAUUUAGUAUAAGUUUAUUUUUUUAAUGUGUUCUAAAUUACAUAAUAUAUAAAAAUAAUAUAAUAUAAAGUAUUAUAAAUUUAAAAUGGGUUAAACUGGACUUAGGCCUUAAAUAUUUAAAUCUGAACUUAACUCAUAUUUUAAACGAGCCUAACUUUUUUUAAGUAAAUUCUGUAAAAUUUUAAACGAAUAAUCAACCAAUAAAGAACUUGAGAGGAAUCCAAUCUUUCCUCAUUUAACCUGUCAAUUAAUUAACUAAAGAAUUCAUCUCACCACCCUAAACCACGUAUUUAUUUAUAUAUUUGAUUAUUUAUUGAAUGACUUGGAUAUAACCUCAAAUGUAUAAAAAAGAAAGGUAAUAAUUUGUUGACAUAUUUGCCCUCUCAAUUGCAAUUGAUGUUUGGAAUUGAUAGGGAGGUAAAAUUGGUAUUGUGUAGGUCAGAUCGGUCAUUUUAAAGGAAGAAGACCACUUUAAGCCAAGUAGGAAACCAAUGAAAGCAACACAUUAUUUUGUUUUUCCUGAACCAAAGACUUCACUUUGCUUUUGAGUAUUUGUUGGCAAAGCUCUUUUGAAAGCACCACCAAACAACAAGAAAACAUGCAAAAGCAAGCUUUGGUUAUAUUGUUUUACAACCUCUCAAGCUCAUCUUUGCUUCUCCUUCUCUUUCUAUACUACUCAUCAAUUUUGCUUGCCAAGUUCUUCUACUUCAUUGGAAGUUACUCGCUUCUCCAAAGGUCCUUGUAAUUUCAUUGUUUUGUUGGUGAAGAAAUUCAUUCAUUCAUUCAUUCAUUGUGUUGUGUGUUCUUUGUUUCUUUUGCAGGAAUCGAAAUGGAUAUGAUUACAGUAUGUUCUCUGAAGAAGAAGAAGAAGAAGAAGAAGAAGAAGAAGAAGAAGAAGAAGAAGAUUAUUGUGUUGAAAGGUAUAACUACAAGGCCAACUGCAUGGAAAAUGACCACCUUGUGGCUGACAUAAUUCAUGGUGGUGAAUCACUUAUUUUCCUGCCGGACAGCAGCUUUCAAAGACCUCGAAAUGAUGUCCAUGAUGAUCAGCUCAUCACGAGUGAGGAUCAAGAAUAUGCAAGUUGUUACACUGAACAGUCACCUAGUUCAGAUUCUGAACACCAUCAUGAUGAUGAUGAUACAGAUUUGUUUGAUCAUGAAGAGAUCCCAACAAAAGAUGGCGAUUCACUUGACAAUUUUGAUGAUGGUCCCACUCCUAUAGUCUCACCAAUGGACAAAAGUGAUGUGGACAAUGAUGAAGAUGGUGAUGGUAUGUACAUUAAACCAUUGAUUAUUAUCACAUGAUGUACGUCAUAUGUUUCUGCUGAACAUUACAUCCUUGUACUUUGUCUUUUCAUGCUGCCUGAUAUUGUUUUCUGCUUGUUUCUGCAGAAAAUUUCAGUAAUCAAAAAAUCAAACAAAGGGUGCAAACAGAUUUUUCAAGUGACAAGUUUUUUGUUAUAGGACCAACAGUGGAGUCUAAGAAGUUAGUAGGUGAGGAGCAGGAUAAUAAUGAACCAAUCUAUGGUGACUCUUACACAAUAGGCUCAACAUCAAAGAGCUCAUCUGAGUGGAGAAGCUCAAUAAAUUGCAGAGAUUCAGGGACUGAAGAUCCAUUUUCAUCUUCCUCAAGAAGAAGUUGUCCCAAAUGGGAAUCCUACACUGUGUUCCAAAAAUAUGAUGAAGAGAUGAUGUUCCUUGACAGAAUCAGUGCACAAAAGCUCCAAGAAACAGGUAAAAUUAUGAGAAACUUGAUAUAUAUAUAUAUAUGAAGAAUGCAGAUUUGGUUGAUGGGUUUGAAAUUGUUUAUAGAAUCACUGAGGUCCAUCCAAGCUUGCCCAAGAUCAAUAUCUGAGAGAAUAGUCCACAAGUUUGCGACAAUGAACAGAAAACCAUCAGAUAUCAGACAGAAUCCAUAUCAUGAACUGGAAUCUGCAUACGUUGCUCAAAUUUGCUUGACUUGGGAAGCUCUUAACUGGAACUAUAAGAACUUUGAACAUAAAAGAGCCUCUAGAAAAGAUUUCGACUGUCCUGCCAUCAUUGCUCAACAGUUUCAACAAUUCCAAGUUCUUUUACAAAGAUACAUCGAAAAUGAGCCUUAUGAACAAGGGCGUAGACCCGAGGUGUAUGCCAGGAUGAGGCUUUUGGCCCCAAAGUUGCUUCUGGUUCCUGAAUAUCGAGGUAAAUCAUUAUUUUUAAAACUUAUUUCAUUUAUAAUAUACCUUUAAUUAACAUUCUGUUUAUUUCCAUAAUUUUGAUAUGAAAAAAGAUUAUGAGGAAGAUGAAAGAGAUGAAGGGUUUGGGCCAAGAAUAUCAGCAGAAACAUUUGUGGUGAUAAUGGAGGAUGGAAUCCAAACCUUCAUGAAUUUUCUCAAGGCAGACAAGGAGAAACCAUGUCAACUCAUUAAAAAAUUCUUUGGGAUGAAGAGAAGAGGCUCAGUUGACCCUACACUCCUUCAGCUUAUGAAAAAAGUUAAUGCUAAAGUAAGUUCUCUAAUUUUAAUAAGUUUACAAAACCAUCAUGUCAUCAUCUCUCUCUCUCUCUCUCUCUCUCUCUCUCUCUCUCUCUCCAUAUAAAACGACUUGAGUAUUAAUAAGAUUACUCGCUGGAUUGAAUGCAGAAAAGGAUGAAGCUUAAAGACCUUAAAAGGGCUAAGAAAUGCAUAAGGAGAAGGAAAGUGAAGGUGGAGAAAGAGAUGGACAUAUUGAUGGGUCUGAUUGACCUAAAAGUGGUGUCAAGGGUUUUGAGAAUGACUGAUCUAACUGAACAACAAUUGCAUUGGUGUGAGGAGAAGAUGAGCAAAGUCAGGAUUUCAGAAGGCCAACUCCAUAGAGAUUCCUCUACCCUUUUUUUCCCAGCUCACUAAUUGACCCACCACCUUUUUCUAAAUAUUACAUCAUACAUUACAAAACCAUAUCUAAAUGUGCAUCACUGCACCAUAUGGAUAAUCCUAGGCUAGCUUUUGUAUAUAGCUAUACCUAUAUUAUACCGGAUGUAGUGACAUAGAAUUUGUUAGAAAAUUAAGAUAUAGGCUCUAUACAUAAAACAUGAUAAUAAGAAAUUUUUAUGAUAUAUAAUAAAACUGUAAAAUUUUAAAUAUCACACUUCCAACAAUAUUUCGAUUUAGAUAUUUUAACUACAAUAAUAAAUUCGAUAUAUUCAAAUAUCUCAGAAUAUGGCAUACUACUGUGAAGAAUAGGUUUGGAUUUGAAUAUUUAAACCUAUUAUUCACUUUAAAUUUUUUCACUAACGAAUAUUGCAUCAUUGUUCAAAUCGGAACAAAACAAAGUCCAACAACAUGUGAGGGUGACAUGGAAUUUGGAGAUUUUGGGAAUCCAUAGAAAUAUUGAAGAAAAGCAGGUAAGCCAAGUGAUUUUAUUUUUUUUAUUCAUCAACUGAAAGUGAAAGAGCAGACAUAAAGCAAGGAACAUUGAAGAGUAGAUACUACAGUGGGAGUAGCUUUAUUAGUUUACUUUAACUUUAUUUCAUUAGGGGGGUUUUCAACAAGGAUACGAGGGCUCUACGUUAUCAAAAGAAGAGAAGGAUAAGAAGUAACUCACACAUGCAUACCAACACAGUAAAAAUGAAUUUGCACAUGCUACCACUCUAAAGCAAAAUCAUUAUAAAAUUAUGUAAAAGAAAUUGGUUUUUUUUAAAGAUAAUUAUGAACAAAAUUCAUUAGUAUACAUUAUAAAAAAAAUUAAUGUACUUUCAACAUCAAACAGUUUCAUUCUCGACAAAGUAUGAGAAUUUCACUCACCACACUCCUCCCAUCAAUUAGCAAUAUAUACCAUUUAAAUACUCAAUUUAAAUAUCAAUGACAAUCUUUUCGUAUUUAUCUUUUUAAUUUUAAAAUUUUAAAAUGAAUGUUUAGUGUUCUAAGUCAUUUAUCAUUUGAAUCAAUGUAAUUUCUGCUUUAUUAAUGAUUCUCUAUAAGAUAAAAGUCUUUUAUAGCAUAUUUACAAGACCUGAUUGCACAAGUCAAAACAUAACCUCAAAAUAAUUUAAGGUGGGUUGGAUGCGGUGCGGUGUGUUUAGCUUAUUUUUUAUCUUACACUACAGUAUUUAAUAUUACUGCUACCGCUGUUUUUACACUAAUCGUAAGUAAACAUACCUUUCAUCCAAACCCACUCUUAAUAUCAUAAUAUACUUUUUAAUAUAAAUCUCAUUAUUUAAAUUAGUAUAUAGAUAAGCCAACAACUGUUUGAUCUAAUAGUAAGAUGUUUGUGUUGCGUAAUGGGACGCAUUCUCUUGUAUAUCAUCUUGUUUACUCAAAUUGGACCCAAGUGUUAGCCUAUCUGUUAGUUUAGGGCCAAUCUGGACAAGUUGGGUCUUAUCUAGGAUGGCCCCGUCCACUAGCAUUGCUGCUUAAUAACAAAAAUAUAUUGUUUUAUUUAAAUUUAGUUAUAAGAAAUAUUAAAUUAAUAUCAAUAUAUAAAUGUUUUAUUAUUUUUCAAUCACGAAAUGGGGGUUGGUGGCCCAUCUCAAUUAAGGACAUGGACUACAUCCGAUGGAAUUUAUCUAAGAAAAUUAAUGUUUUUAAAAUCGAAUGAUAGAUAAAUCAAUUAAAUUAUUAAAAAUAAAAUAAAUAAUUUAUUUUUUUAAUUAAUGUUAAGUGAUUUACAAAUUAAUCACCGAUUAAUAAAUAAAGCUUCCUCUCAUAAAAAAAUAAUGAAUAAAUUUAUAAAUUUGCCCCGAGAUGCCUUAACACAAGAUAACAGAGGUAUCUUGUAUGCUUACCUCCCUAGAUUUCCAUCAUGCUAGCUUUUACAAACUCUUUCUUGUUACUUAGAAAACUCAUUUGAAAACCCAAUAUCUCCGUGGCUGUUGCACUCUUUUGAUCCCAAUUCCCAACUUCACCAUCGUUUUUUUUUUUGCAAUUCUUACUUGAUAUAUAAUUGACUAUUAAACAUUUAACAAUAUUGAGCUAACAAAUUUUUAAUAUGUUAAAUGUUUAAAUCAGGAUCUUACCUUUUAGAAGUCAAAUAUUUUAGAAUAGUUAUACAAUAAAUUAAUCUUUACAAAAAUAUUUAAAUACGAGUUUUUCAUAUAUAUUUAUAAUAAAACAUAUAACAACUUAAUCAUAUGUUGCUCGAAAAGAAAAGGAAAUAAUAAAAUCACAAUAAAACCCGAAAUACAAUAUUUAAGAAGUUGUUAUUUGAAUACAUUAAAAAAAUAAAAAAUAAAAACAAUUUUCUCCUUCAUUUGUUAAGCUUUAUAUUAGCAAUGGGCUUCUUUAUCAUCAAGUGAUUCCACGUUGAAUUUUCGCACAACAAACAAAUUCUAAGAGAACAACUCAAAAGCAAUAAUUUAUUAAAUUUAAAGGGCAGAAGCAAGUGGAUGGCAAGUGAGACAUCCAUGUCUGUUCUUAGAAUAAAUAAUAUAUGGAGAAAUGAGAAUGAUAAUGUGCUGCCUUUUUGUUGACCAUCCAAUAUCGAUGCAAUCAUUUAUGCCUUUAUACAUUCAACAGCCAUUUAAUUUCAAUUUCGAGAUUUUCAUAUAUUUCUUGCACUUUAUAUUUAAAAUAUUAUAUAUUUAUUUAAAUUUUAACAAAUUUAUUAUUAUGUGUGAGUCUUAUUGGUUUAUUCUAUAAUUUUUUGUCAUACCAUUUUAACUCUUUAAUUCUUUUAAUAAAUAUUAUUUUUAUCAUAUAACUGCAUUGUAUUUAAAAUAACUUAAAUAAAAAGGUGUUACGGUUAGUUAUGAUAAAAGGAGUGUUUUAUUGAAAUCUUUACAUGUUUUGUUUUUAUUUAGUUUCCAUUAAAAUGAAAAAUGUUGGGAAAAGGUGUUUGGUUUAAAAUUUUAAAAAUAAUUUUUUGAAAAUGGAAAUGUGAAAAUUAGAAAUAAUAAAUAAAAAGCUUGUUUUUAUUGAAAAUGUUUUUGUAAAAGGUGAAAGUGAUAAAAACAAAGGUUUUAAACUUUAAAUAUAUUGGUUAUGGUUAAAACUGGUAUAAACACAAAAAUUAUUCUUUUAUUUUUCAACAUUAGAUUUGAUACUCUUAAUUUGAAUUCAUAUCCAUAUGAAUGUAUUAAAAAAAUUAUUAUUUUUUUGCACAUAUAAUUUCAUGGUGUUUGUUCUUCCCAAAAUUUUAAUAUUUUUAAUAACUUAAUUAAAAAUACAUUACAUGAUAGAAAAUAAUAAAUAUGUUAUAAUAUGCACGCAUAUAUAUAAGAGUGCAUAUUUGCAUUUGGCACAUUAAUAGUGUGUUUUUUCUCAUUCUACAAGUAGUUUUAAAAGAUUGAUACGUGUCUCUCUCUUUUUUAAAUAACUAUUUCUAAAAUAUUUUACUAUACUCUUAUAGUACACUUGUCAACCUUUUACGUGUAAAGUCUAAAAAAUUCACUAAUAUUGUAUCAAAUAUUUUCCCCAUAUAUAAUUAAUGAUCUAAAAUCCUAAUAUAUAUAUAUAUAUAUAUGAGAUAGAGUUAAGCUUUGAAAUAGAUAGUUUUUAAUUUUUUUAAAAUAGUCAAAAAUAAUUUUAUCCUUAAUUUUAGAAAUAAAGUAUUAAAUAUAUUUUAAUUUUUAAUUUUAGAAAUAAUAUAUGUCUAAUACUUUUUAAAUUGAGAAAUAAAGUUUUAAAUGCUUUUUUCUCAUUUUUAAAAUUUUUAAUUUAAAAAAUAAAGUUCUAAAUAAUUUUAGAUAUAAUAUAUAUCUAAUAAUUUUUUAAAUUACAGAAAUAAAUUUUUAAUUCUUUUUAUUUGUAAAUUUUAGAAAUAAUUUAUAUCUAAUACUUUUUUAAUUUCAGAAAUAAAUUCUUUAAUAAUUUAUUUUAAUACUUAAAUAAUGUAAAAGCAAAAAUUUGACUCAGUGAAAAAUAAAAAAUAAUUUGCUAUUCUUUUUGUAACAUGGAUAUAGAUAGAAGUGAAAUAUUAAAAUUUUAUUAAAUAAGAUAAGUUAAAUCACAUAACAGUUUGUUAAAGUUUUAAAAAAAUUAAUUUUGAAAUAAAAACAAUUUGACAAUCAUUAAAUUUAUUUCAUAUUAAACACAAUUUAAUACGAUCAAUAAAUGAGAUAUAUGAACUUAUAUUUUAAAUAUAGAGGAAGUAACCGUUUAACAGAUAAAUUAUUUUAUGGACCCUUUUACCGCCUCAUAUAUGGUCCUACCAAAAUAUUUUAUGUCAAAUCAAUAACUUUUUCGUACUCAAAUUAGAAUUAGAAUGAUUAAAACAAUUUCCACAUCAUAUUUGAUUUUGUUCAAUUUAUUUUUCUUUUCAUCUGAGUGACUUUUUUUCCUCCCCUCAAAAUAAGACACUAUUAGCAUAAGAGGAUUUAGGGUUUUAAUGAUUUUCUUAAUUUUUUUUCCUUUUUGAAUCACCUCUUGGUUGUUAUAAAAAAAGAUUUGGGGUUUUAGACAAUUCAAAGUAAAUAAUGGAAUGAUUAAAAUUGUUAUGAACUAAAUUCAAUAAUUAUUUCACUAGAAAUAGGAACGAACCUGAUUCUCUAACCCCUUUAUUUUUUUGCUCAGCCUGUAGUCUUAAAUUAGAAAAAUUACCAAAACCCUAAAUCCUCUUCUUCUAACAGUGAGGAGGAGGGAAAAAAAUCAUGUCAAAUGAAAAGAAAAAGAAAUUGAACAAAAUUAUAUAUGACAGUGAAAAUUAUUUUAAUCUUUUUAAUUUGAGUUGAAAAAAUUUGUUGACAUGGCAUAAAAUAAUUAACUAGAACCAUAUAUUAGGUGGUGAGAAAGGUUCAUGGAAUAAUUUAUCCGUUUAAUAACACUAUAAUUAUGAAAUAAAUAUUAAGAUAACUAAUAUUCAACUUUAUUAGAUAACUUUUAUCUAACUAUUAAGAUAAAUAUUAUCUAACUUUGUUUUAAUUAAAUAUUAUUUAUCUUUAUGAUAAAUAUUAUAUUAUGUUUUAUUUUUUAAUUUUAAACUUUGAACCAUAUUUUUUAAGGGUAAAUAAAAACAUGCUAUUUAAAUUAAUUUUUUUAUGAAACUGAAUUUUAAAAUUAAUAAUUGAAAAAGUAGAAUAGUUAAAAUUAACAUUAAAAUUUAAAUUUAAAAUAGAAUAGGAAUUCACUUAAUAAGAAAAUAUGAAAUAAAUAACUCAGAAUUAAACAAAAUAAUAACAUAAAAUAUCAAUAUAGAGUUAAUAAUAAAGCAAAAACUAAAUUAACAAAAAUUAUUAUUAAUUUCAGAACGUAUAUUUUAUUAUUUAUUGUUUAAAUAAAAAUAUAUGUGGCAAAUUAAAAGCAUGAUGUAGCUUGUGUAGGAUAAGGGCUAGGAAUCAAAUUGAUAAUGGGGGGUGCCCUUUUUUCUUUUGCUUCAAAAUGUGCUGCCUUUUUGUUCCAUCAUAUAGUGCUGCAAUCAUUUCUCCCUCCUUUAUUCAACACUCACUUCAUCCUUUUUUUUUUUUGAUCUAAAAAAUAUAUAUAUUAAUAUUUAUUUAAUAAUUAAUUUUUUUACUAUUUUUAAAAAUUUAUGUUAAUUUAACACACAUAAUUUAUAUAAAUAAAAUAAAAAAUAUGUUAAAUAUUAAUAAAGCAAGAAAUAUAUAAAACUAUAUAUGUGUGCAAUCCUCCUCAUAUUGUAUUUAAUAUUUAACGCAUUAUAUUUACAUAUAAAUUUAAAUGAUUAUUUUGAGAUCGAAUUUCAUUUAUUAGUAUCAAUUGAAGAUCAGUCCACAUCAAUUUAAGUUUAUCAAUAAUACAUUUUAAUGUUUUUAUAUAUAUCUUUGCAUUUUCAUGUUAUAAUAUAUUAUUGAGUGAACUAUGCUAUGCUAGAUGUCAUUCAACUUUGAUUAAUUUUUAAUUUUUGUUAUUCAACUUUUAAAUUUUAUCAUUAUUAUAAAAAUAUCAUUUAACUAUUUAAUGUCAUUAUUUGAUAAAAUAUGUUUGAUGUAACAUGUUAAACGUGUCCCGUGUUUAAAAAAAUUGUUUUUUUCAUAUUAACAUAUAUUUCUUUUCUCUCUUUUUUCCUUAUUCGGUUUUUUUUUCUUUUUUUUUUUCUUCUUCUUUUCUUUUCCCAACAAACCCUAUAAGCCAUUGAUUGAAUUUAGCACCGCCGAUGGCUUCCCCGGACACUAAACUCAUUGGUGGAUCUCUCAAGGCUAUCCUUUUAUUCCGAUAAGCUCAACCUUAACCGUUAAUUCUCCCCUCCCAAAUUUUAGAAAAAUAUGAAUUUUCUAUUGAAAUUUUUAGAAAAUUUUAAUUAACCCCCUCAAAUUUUUUGAAAAUUCUCAUUAUGCCUUUUAAUUUUUUAAAAAUUUAAUUAAGCUCACAUAAAAUAUUGGAAAAUUCUCAUUGAUCUCAGAAAAAAAUUUAAAAAUUUAAUUAGACCCUCAAUUAUUUUAAAAAAUUCUCAUUGAACUCUAAAAUUUUUGAAAUUUUUACUAAUCUUUAAAACUUAAUCCCAGAACCUACCACUAUAAUAAACCAAGGUGAUAUUAAUAGAUUAUUUUAGAAUAUGAAAAUUAAAAAAAAAAAACAUAGUGACCUCUCUAGUAAUCCAUAUAACAUUUUGAUCCUUCUAGUGAAACAAAGAGAGGGUAAAUUGGUUCUAUGGAACAAAAUAGUCCUUCAUUAAAAAUUUUAUAGCUUUUUAUUGUUAAAUAUUAAUGUGACAUUUUUAUAUAAAUAUUUGGUACAAAUAACUUGAAAAUAAAUCAUGAUUAAGAUAAAGAUGAUUUUAUAUAAUUAUUUAAUUUAUUAUACUGUCGUCAUAACAUGUCUCGCUAGGCUAUAAAAACACAAUGAAACUUAAUCUUAUGACUUCACCGCAUCUCUAAACUACCAUGUUCAAUGGCGGUGAACUCAUUUACCAAAUUUAUCUUCAUCAUUUUAAACCCAUAUCCUUCUUACAAUUGAAGAACUUGGUAACCCAUGUUUCCGAUUAUUUAAGUAAACUUGGCAUCAUCAUUUUCGUCCCGAAUUUUCUGUUUGGUUUAAAACAACAUGGAUUUUCUUUUUUGCAAUUAAAACCAUGUUCUUUAAAAGCAUUGAAGACAUGGGUGAUCUUACCAAGUUCUUCGACUGAAUUCAGCUGGGAGGAGGAGGAAAUGAUGUUCGAGUGAGAGAAGAAAAUGGGUUUUGAAUUUAAGGAAUAAAUGGGUAAUAAUUUAAUAAAUUAUAUAAGAUUAUUUUUAUCCUAUCAUCACCUUUUUCCAGAUAAUUUUCAUCAAAUAUAUAUAUAUGAGAUUUUAAAAUUUAAAAUUUAGAUACACAACAUCUAAAGCAUCCAAUAGGAAAAUAUAAUGUGAAGUAGGGGUGAGUAUUCGAUCGAAUAAAGUAAAAAAAUUUUGAGUUAGUCGAGUUGACGAAUCCUAUUUUAGUAACCAAACUUAAUUUGAAUUUUUUUCGAAUCGAAUCGAAUCGAGUCGAGUUAACAAAUCCUAUUAUUUAUACUCAAUGUUACGUUUACAUUGACCGAUUAUUUAACUAGUAGACAAAGUACAAGAUUAUUUAACUACAUAAACAAUAUAAUAAUUUUGUCUUUUAAUUUAAUGAGUAAAUAUUUAUCAAGACGAUGUAAUUUUACCUUUUAACUUAAUGAUUUUAACUUUUAACUUUUAAAAAAAGUAAACAUUUAUUAAAACAAUGUAGUUUUACCUUUUCUUAUUCGGAUUUUCGAAUAACUUAAAUUGUGUAAUUUAUAUUCGAGUUAAAUAAAAAAAUUUAAUUUUUUAUUCGAAUUAAUUCAAAUAACUUAAUUAACUCAAAUAACUUAAACUAUUUAAUUUAAAUUUAAAAUUUUUUAUUUUUUUUUGAAUUAAAUCAAAAUUUGCUCAGUCAAUAUGGUUUAGGGAAAGUUAUGGUAACUACCCAUUGGAUCAGCAUUGCAAGUGCGUCUCGCAAUUUGAAGCAAUGUUUUGUCUUUUUUCCACCUUCGGAUGCGGAAAUCUGUGGCCCAUUGAACGCAGAACGCUGCCACUCUCUUCUCAUCGUUUUAAAGAUUUUUCAUAUAAUAUUACAAAAAUAAAAAUUUAUCAUAAGUUACGUAGUGUUUGAAAAUUUAGAAUUUAUUUCUCAUUUUUAAGAAUUCAAAUGGAAAAAAAAAUCAAUAACUCUAUUAUACUAGUUUCUAAUAAUAUUUUGUAUGUAAUAUUUUUAAAUUAUUUUCACUAUUCUAAAUAUAAAAUAUUUUCUAUAUAUAGAAAAAUCAAAUUAAUUAGAAAUUAGAAAGAUAAAAAAUAAUUUUAAAUUAAAUAAAAAUAAAUUUUAAUUCAAAUAAUCGUAAUUUUGUAACUUAUAUUUCAAAAACCAUCCGAACUUAUAAUUAAUUUUUAUUUUUAUUUUAUAAUUUAAAAACAUUAUAGUUUUGUAAAUUUUAAAAGGGAUAAAUAUUAAAUUUAUAAAUAAAUUUUGGUUCAAUGUGCAAUUUGAUACAUAAACUUUGAUUCGGUACAAUUAUGCACAUGAAACUUGAAUUGUGGUUCACAUGUAUGUGUGAAACUCUAAAUUAUAUACAUUUAAAGAAAUGAAUAUAUACAUUUAUUUUCAUAUUAGAUUAAUAUAAUUGUUGGUGUAUGCAAUAUAUGAAUGUAAAAUGAAGUUAAUUCAACAAUGUUGUUAGUGAAAAUUUGAAUCAAAUUAAAAUUUCGUGUAUAAAAGCACAUAAAAUCAAAAUUUAACAUUACAUAUUGAAUCAAAAAUUAUUAACAAUUUUAAUAUUUAUCAAUUUUAAAAUUAUUUGAUUCUAUAUAAAUCCAUUCAAAUUCAAAUUAAUUCAAAUUCGAAAUAAAUUAAAUUGUGGUACAUGUUCGUGAUUUUAACCCACAACUUCAAUUUUUUUUUUUUUAAAGUUCGAACAUUUUUUAAAGUUGGUUAUAUAUUAUUUAUAAAAAUAAUAAAAAAAAUGUGGACAAAAGUCGAGUAGGAAGCUAAAGUUUUUUAAUUAUGGUUUUCACAAAGCAAACUCUUUUAAUAAUGGAAUAAUCUUAAUCAAUUAAUAAGUAUUUUAAAUCCAUUCGUUGCCUAUCGUAUUUUAUUAUAAGAAAUAACGAAACACAGUCUUCUUAGUUCAUCCUUCUUCAAAGAUGAGGCUAUUGGGCAACCGGCGUUAACUUUAAUUGUCUACUUUAUGUGUUUGAAGUAAGCAAAAUUGCUUCAUUGUCUGUUAUUGUCUUGGUCAAUUUUAUACCUUUGGGUAGAGAAACAAAUUACAAUAAUUAAUUAAAUUACUUCAAAUUUAUAGUUUUGUUCUAAGAAUUAAAUUAUAUGCCGCGAUUUACACAAUGAGAAGUGUGAAGUGUGAAGAGAUACUAAGGUGGAAGUGAUACACGCAGAGAAUGGUACGAAAAGCCACUAAAAAUAAUAGUUUAGAGGUGUUAAGGUAAUAUCUAAAAAGAGUGUUAACUAUAUGUCUGGUCAUUGGUUUUUUUCAAUCUCUCUUUGCCUAGGUGUUAAUGGGGUAAUUAUCGAAUAAGGUUAGUUUAGCGUGGCUGCCUGGGUUCCUAUCAUCAAGCAUUCUAUCCAUAAGUAUAGAGGGUAGAGUUACGGAUGUUAGCUUAGAAUCCUUGUUGGAGUUGAUUUAAGGAGAUUGAAUGAAGCAUUUGUGAAGUUAAAGAGGUGACAAAAACUCCUCCCCAUAUAUCUUCCGGGGCCUUGUGAGCCCACCUUAUGCAAUUUAUUUACUUUAAUUGUUAAUUCAAUUUAGUUCAUGUAAUUUGUUUUUAAUUAAACUUUAUUGAAUUUAUUUUUUAAUUCAAUUCUAUUUUGUUUUAUCUGAUUGCUUUAUCAAGCAUUUGGGUAACAAAUCUAACAUGUUUUUAUUUUUUUUUUUAAAUAUUAACAUAUCCUUUAAAUUACAUCACUUUUCAUUUUAUAAAUAACAAAUUAUAGCAUCAAUAUUUCUAUCAGCAUAUAUAGUUCGUCCAAAGCAUAAGAAUAUUUUGAGUUCAUCAAUGAUGUCACUCUAUGUAGGGGUGUGCAAAUUUCGGGUAAAAUCGAAUUAAUUCAGUUAACCGGUUGAAUUUGGUUAAUCAGUUGGUUAAUCGAAUUAAUUCGGUUAGGGUCGAUUAAUAAUUUUUUAGAAGCUCGAUUAACGGUUAAUUCGAUUCGAAAUCGGUCGGUUAACCGAAUUUAAUAAAUAGUAUUACAAUAUAUAAGUAUUCGGUCGGUUCGGUUAAUUUUUGGGAAAUAUAAAUUAAUCAGUCAGUUAAGUCUGUUAAUUUUUUAUAUGUUUUAUACUUGUUUUAACCAAAAAUAACAAAUAUAUAUAAAUUUCGGUUAAUUCAGUUAACAGACUAAAUUAACAGAGCAAGUUCCGUUCAGUUAAGUUUUUUUUAAAAAUUUUGGUUCGGUUAAACGUUAAGGGUUUAAAAGAGUCGUUUAAUUCAGUUAAUAAUAGUUCAGGCCGGUUAACGAAUUGAACACCCCUAGCUCUACGUCUUGCAUUAACUAAUCACAUUUUCUUAUGUUAUCUCAAGCUUAAUUUCGACCAAGAAAUACAAGGUCCAAGAAACUUGCCUAUGUCAUUGUCGCAUGCCUCCAACUCUAGAGGACACCCUAACCUACUUUUAGUGGCGAAGUCUAGGGUUGACAUAGUUUUAACUCCUAAAAUGAAAAAAAAAUUCAUUUGUGUCAUUUUAUAAUUUAAAAAAUUUUAAAUUAGUAAUAGUAUAAUUGCACUUUGACCCCACAAAAUGAUAAAAUAUGAUUUAAUCAUUUACAAAUUAUAAAUAUAUAAGCUAUUAGAAUGGUUAAAUUGUAUUUUUACUAUUGUAGAAAUAUAAAAUUUAAUUUCACCUCCCAAAAUUUUUUGCCUAACUUCUCAAAAUCCAAAAACCAAAACCCAUAAUCUAAAAUUGUAACCCUAAAUCCUAAACUCUCAAACCUAAAUAUAACAUUUAAAAAAUGCCCACCGAAUUAUUUUUCCUUCAUUUGUUCAAGCUUCAAUCCCAUAUUAGGAAGAGAUUUUGAACCCAACUCUAACAUCAACGAACCUGAAAUUAACUCUCCUGAUUUUCCAUGCUUUUCUUCAGCAUGGUCUUCCUCUAGUGUUUAUGCAUUAUAAUAUGGAUACAAAAUAUAUUUUAAACUAACAUUAAAUAAGGUUUAGGUUUAUGAUAAACCCUAUUUACGAUUAGUGUAAAUGAUCCUCAUAUGAAGAAUGCUUAAAUACUUCACAAAGAUUAUACUGAUGAAGAGUAAUAGAAUUAGGAGAGUAGAGAGUUGACUUUGGUUGAGGUUAGAGUUGGAUCGAAAUAAUCUUUAACCCAAUUAAGUUGGAGGAAAAUAAUUUCGUAAGGGUUUUCAAAUAUUAAAAUUUAAGAUUGAGACCUUAAAGAAUCGAACUAGAAUUUAGGGUUUAGAGGUAAUUAAACAAAGGGUAAGGAGUUUUGAUGGACUAAUGUAGGCGAAAUAAAUCAUGGUGAUGAGGUCUCAUUUAAAUUAUACGAGAUUUUGUCGAGAAUCUCCAAUUAGGGUACUGCCAUUUCAUUGUGUUCCAAUGAUGGGAAUACAAUUCGGUAGAAGGAAUAUCCCCAAAAAGUAAACCUCAACAUACAAAAAUAUUAGAUUUUUUUAAAAAAUUUUCAUAUACAUCUUGAUAUUUAUAGUCUUUAAAAUAAUUUAAUAUUAAAAAACUUAAUUUAAAAUGACGACAUUUUUAUAAAAAAAAGCAAUAUAUUAUAUAAAAAAUUAAACUAUAUAGAUAGUCAUUAAACUAUCAAAAAUUCCCAUUUUAGGCACUUUAAAUAAAAUCUUGCAAUUUAAACAACCAGGCUAUAUAAUUUGUUCAUAUUGAUAACUUCCGUUAAAAACUUUAACAGAAAUCUGAUAUGACAUUUUUUUGACACAUGAAUCAAUCAUUGAAUGCCACAUGACACAAUUAACCACGUAAGUGUUGCAUACCACUUUAAAGAACUAAAAUAUAAUUUGCUCAAUACUAAUUAUUAAUAAAAAAAUGAUAAUUAAAUGGUUGAAAAAAACCUAAAAAUCUAUUUUUUAUUUUAAUUAAUAAUUAGUAUUGGACAAAUAAUAUUUUAGUCCUAUGCAAUAUUUAUGUGGUAAAUUGUGUCAUGUGACAUCUAAUUAUUGGUUUAUGCGUCAAGAAAAAUGUCAUGUUAAAUUUUUAUUAGAAUUUUGACGAAAUAACUAAAAUAAACAAAUUAUAUAACGUAUGUGUUUAAAUUAUAAUUUUUUUUAUUUUAAAUACUUAAAAUGAAUUUUUUUUAUAAUUAAGUGAGUAUGUGUAGUUUAUCCUAUAAAAUAAUUCACGAUUUAUGACUAAAAACAAUUCAGUUGUUUAAGAAAAUAAUAAAAAUAAAAAAUGAGAGCAUGCAUGCAUGAGAGCCUUAUAAAAUAUGCAAUCACCGUAUAAAAAAGAAAGAAAGAUUGAUUGAUUGAUAUUUAAUAUUCGAUAUGUGUCUCAGAAUCCAAAUCUUCAUCAGAUUCCAUUUUGGCUCCAAAUCCUAAACUCACCUUUGACUCUCCUUUAAAACAAUCAUCAACCAUCUAUUUCCAUUCUAUUCAAAUCUGACGGUCAAUACCCAAUAUUUCACAUCACAUGAUUUUCAGUUCGCGAACACCCUAUCCACCCUCCUCCCCUCACUCACCCUCUUUCUCUCUAUGAAUACUCACCCACCUAUCCCCUCCUUUUUCUCUCUCUGAAACUUUCCUCUCUCAAAAUCUCAAACCCAGAUUUGUUCUCUCUCUCUCUCUCUCUCUCUCUCUCUCUCUCUCUCUCUCUCUCUUUCCAAUCAAUUAAUUCCUCCAUUGGAGGAGCUUAGGUUUGUCUGAAACAACCCAGAUCUCUUUUUUGUUUGUUUGCUUGUUUGUUUCGUUAGAUUAGAUCUCAUGUUUUUUUAUGUUCUUUUUUUUUUGGACAGGGUUUGUUGGUGUUCUGAUCUUUGCUCUGUCUGAAAAAUAAACAGAAUUAUAAACCAACACCAACGCCAUGGGAAGAUUUGAAGAGGGAGGAUUCGAUUCAGUGGUUUGCCCUAAGCCUAUACGAACCUUUAGAUGGUCUACCAAGUAUGUCCCUUUUUUUAAUCUUCUAAUUUAUUUCUGCUUUCAUUAUCUUUUUAUGUAUCAUGGUUCUUAUUUUAUUUUUGAUUUGGGAAAAUUCCAGCAGCUGUUAUCAGACUGAGAUGGCUGAUUCAAAAGCUGGUGCAGAGCUUCUUGAUAUAAUCCUCUCCGAGGUAAAUUCAAUUAAAAAAAGAAGAAGAUUUUUCUGGGCUUUAAUUUUUCUUUUUGUUUCUUUGAUGACUCUGGGUACUGAUUCUUUGAUUUUCAUGUAAUUUUUCUAGAUUUUCUUUCUGAUUUUGUACAAUUAGAUGUGACCUAAAGGGGUAUCGUUUUAAUUGAGUUUCAGGGAGGGUAUGGGGCCGAGAACCCCACCGACCAAAUGGCUUCAUCACCACCGUAUUUCUGUGGAUCACCGCCGAGCAGGGCGUCGAAUCCGGUAAUCCAAGAUGCCCGAUUCAACGACGAGCAGCCGGUGCUACCUCCACUAACAUCCCCGGGACCCUCCUCAAGGGGAGGAUGCGUGAGGGUGAAAUUCGGGCAGAUGCCAGCUGCUGUACGAAUCGAGGGAUUUGAUUGCCUCACCAGAGAUGGCCGCCAUCGCAGAAUCUCCGCCGUGGCUUAAGAAAUACCGAGGGGAAGAAAAUUUUGAUAUGAGAAAAAAAAAUUGAGAGGAGAGAGGGAGAUGAUAAAAUUAAGUUACAACUUGGAAUAGUGUGGGUAGUGUUGGAUUUGUAAAUAGAAGAUUAAAAUGAGAUGAUGGGUGUUAAAUUGUUGGGUCUUUGAUGAUUUUGGGAUGGGAUUUUCCUUGCAUAAAAGAACUAGAGGGGAGCAAAAACAAGGUUUAUUGCCCCCACUCUUGUUAGGGUUCCUUUUUUUUUUUUUUGCUUUCUUUAAUUAUUAAUUACUGUAUUUGGUGAGAGGAGAGGAUGGAUGGGAGAGACAUUUUUGUAAUAUAUCGUGUUUGAUCAAUGACACUCUCAUCCUUCCUCCUUCGCAUGUAAUUGUAAUUUGAAGGAAAUGGAGGUUUUAAUUUUUCUUUUGCCUUAAUUUAUUAAUGAAUAAGAAAUGGGUAGGCUUUAGGUUUGGGUGACGAAUGACGAUAAGAUUAUACAGGGAUAAUGAAAAUAAAAAGGUGCUUUUACAUUACUGUUGGCUGCUACUGCUUAUUGCGAUUCGGCGUCUAAAUCACAAAAUCGUGGCACCACCAUCUGCUCAUCUUUCUAUCCUUUUCUACCUCUACCUUACGUCGACAUUGGAGCCAUAUUUAGCUUACAUCCUUAACAUCUUUUAAUAUAUGUUCUAUUAAAGUGACAUUUUUUUUAUAUAUUUAUUUGUCUUGUCUAUAUUACAUUUAGGGAUGGUCACGACGUUUUCCAUCUGUCUCCACUUCAAUUCCAAUUUUUUAAAUUUUUUUAUAUAUUUGAAUUAUUUACUAUCUAUGCAUUGGCAUUGAUUUUUUUUUAUGUAAUCAAAAAUAUAAAAAAUGUUAUAAAAUUAGAAGAUAUUUUAAUGAAGGUGUCCAGACGUCCCAAGAAGAAUUUUAACUACCAUUUUAUUUAAGUUAAGAUGCGAUGUUAAAAAUGUUAAUUAAAUUUUAGGAAUAUUUAAAUAUUUAUAAACAAUUUUUAUCUGAUUUUUUUAUCUAACUACUCAUAGUGAGUGAAUCAGUACGUGUAUAUAUAUAUAAUAUUAUAAAUUUAUAAAUUUUAAUAGUUUAUAUUGUGUUGACAUUAUUUUAGAUAAUUAAUGUCGCCUACAACUUUACAUACAAUUUUAAAAUGAUGAACAACAAAAGUACAUACAAUUUUAAUAGCUAGGCCGGCCAAAGCUUUUUAGCCUCUUCAAUACGAUAUUUGAGAUUAAAAUUUAUGUUUGAUUAAUUGGAUUUAAGAAAAAUAUUUUGUAUUUUGCGAUUUUUAUAAGAUGCAUUUUGCAACUUGAGCAUUAAAAUAGAAAAACUUAUGUAUUUUUCUUUAAAAAAAUAGAAAAAAUACAUUCAAUUAAGUUUUCAAACAUUAAAAUUACAUUAUUUAAAUUUUUUUAUUAACGUUUUCCAUUAUGAAUUGCAACCGUUAACCAUCACUUAGUUAAUAGCAUUGAUGUUGAUGUGAUAAUCCACAUCAACAACCCAUUGUUAUGCCAAAUAAAUUACAAAAAUAUAUUUUUAACCAUAAUUUUCUUAUUUAUCGGCUUCAUCACUACUGAGACGGAAAUAAUUAUGGAUUUUUAAUUUUAAUUUUUGGUGAAGAAAUUAUUAAUCCUGAUAAAUUUGUCUUGUUAAAUUUAGGUUAAUUACAACAUCAUUUUUUUAAUUAUAUGGCUACUAAGUGAAAUUUUUUUAAAUUUUAAAAUGUCAUAACAAAAAUUUAAUAAAAAAAUUAAUUGGGUUAACAGUCAAAUUUGAAUUUUAAAAUUUGAAAAAUAGUGGAACUUAAUUUUUAGAAAUAAAAAUUCAAAGACUAAAUUUCAAAUUAUCGAAAACACAAAACUUAUGACAUAUUUUAACCUUUUAUUUUACAUGUUCACUUUUAACAAAACUUUUUAAAUUUCACUUAUUAUUUAAAUUUUAUUAUUAUACAAAAUCUAAAAUAAUUAUAUUAUUUUAAUGUAUUUAUUAAUUUUAUCUUACAUGUUUUAAAUAAUAUUGACUUCUCUUCAUAAAAAAAUAACAUUGACUUUAAAUAAAACUUUUUUAAAUUUUACUUAUUUUAUUUAAAAUUUAUUAUUAUAGAAUAUUUUUUUUAAAAAAAUCAUUAAGUAAAAUUUAAAUAAAUUUUUAUGAAAUUUAAUUAUUUAAAAUAUUUAAAAGGACAAACGUUUAGAGUUUAAAAGAAAAAUUAGCAAUAACAUUUUAUUUAAAACAGAGAAUGAAUUUUCAUAAUUGGUCUAAUAGUUAAGGGAUGUUUAACUAUAAGAUUCAUUCAGAUUUGAGUCUCUAGAGGAAUAAAUGAUAGGCUUUUAUUCGGAUAAUUCUUUUUAAAUUUUGCGCGUGUGUGUGAUGUAGAUAUGUCUCUUUUAUACCGAUCUUUUAAUUAAUAUAUAUUAUUUUAGUAAAAUAAAUAAUUAAAAUGAUUUUUUUGAUAAAGUGAGAGGGAAUAUUUCAACAAAGCUCCUUUUCUUUAGUUAUUGUGAUUUCCGUGGUAGGAUAAAAUGAAAUCUCUGUGGGGACACUUCCCACUUGCCUGCCGGAUUUUGCCUGCCUAAUACAAGGCAUCAACUUGUUACAUGUCUUUUAUUUAUUCUUUCUUUUUUUUUUCAGUUUAUUAUGAUGAAUUUUUAUAUUUUUAUUAUACUCUUUUUUAUCUUUUAAUUCUAUCCAAAUAAAUAUUUCAACUUUUAAUUUUUAUUAAAUUUUAAUCAUCUAAGCUCCGAGACCUAACUUUUAAUUUAUGCUUGAAUAAAAUAAUUAAGAUAAAUUUUUUUUCAUUCAAAACAAAUGUUUAUUUAGAUACAAAUUUAAAAUAAUAAUGAUUUAUUUUUUAUAAUAAAAAUUUAGGACUCGUUACAAAAAAAAAAUCAAGGUUUUCUUAAUAUUUUAACCAAUAUACUUACAUUCUCAUUAAGGAUUUCCUAAUAGUUUAGUAAAAAUAAUCACUUAUAUUAGUUUUACAAAUUCGUAAUUUAUUUUAUAGACUAUACGAUCCAAUCCAAUCAUCACAUUUCAUAUUUUAUUUAUUUAAAAUUUACAUAUCGAAUUUUAAAUCAAUUAAAAAUGUAAUACUUUACUUAAUGUAAAUUAAUUUAAAAUUUUACGUGUAUUUAUUAAAUUUAAUUAAUAAUUUGUAUGAAGCAUUUUGAUAACCUUUUUCUAAGCUAAUUGAUGGAAUUUGGUGCAACUUGAGGUUUGCGAUGGUAAUUUUAGAUUCUGAAUUCGUCAUCUCUGGAAAUUAUGUAAGUCCCAUAUCUAGGCAUAAUCAUAUUUCAAAAGAUCAUAUCAGAAUCUUUCAAUGCAGCUCUGAAUUGGUUGAUUGGUAUCAUGACUACAAAAUUUUAUAACUAAUAGACGAUGACGUGAAACUUACAAAUUAUUUUAAUCUAAAAUAUAUAUGUAUGUAUAAAUAUAUAUCCAAAUUCUCCUCCGAGACUAUAACUCUAAAUGAAUUACAUGAAAAAGAAUUAGAAAUGAAUUGUAUAUUUUACUAAUUACGAUAAUUGUAUUUUCUCGAGAAUGUAAGAUAUGACUUGAAAUUAAUUUGAUUUAAUUGAUUAUUAUUUAAUUUGACGAAUAAAUUAAAUAAUUAAGUUCAGUGUAAAAAUUAAAUUAUUUAGUCAUUGUAGUUCAAUAAAAUUCGAAUAAUUAAAUAAGUUUACAAAUAAAUUCUAAUAUAAUAAAAUUAAAAUUAUAUAGUUUAAAAUAAUUGAUUAAUAAAUUCAAUUAAUAAUUUAUAUGAAUGUAUAUUUAAUUAUUUAGUUAAUUAAAUAUUAGAGCUUGAUUUUUUAUUUAUUUAAAAUCAUUGAAUGUAAUGGCCCAAAUUUGAGGUUAUCGGAACAGUGGUUUCGGGACCACAAAUCCGAUGAGAAAAAUUUUAUUUUUCUUAUAUUUUUAUGGUCUAUAAUUUCAAAAAAUGAUUUUUUGAAAAUUUCGUUCGAAAAUUUCGACGUUUGGGCACUCAAUUUAGUCAAAAGGACUAAAUUGUAAAAAGUGCAAAAGUUGAGUUCUACAUGUUAGAGGUGUCCAAUUGUUAUGAAACUUUAAAUUGGAGGUCUUUAUAUGAUAAUUAUACCAUUGGUAACUUGGUAGACAAAAAUGGACAUGAGAUAAGUGAAAUAGAAAAUUUUUAAGUUAGGGGCAAUUUGGUAAUCUAGUAAUUAAAAUGAAUUAAAAGGGAAAAAGAUGGCAAAAAUCAUCAUCUUCUUCAUAUGAACGAAAUCAGCAAGGGGGGAAGCCAUAGUUAGGGUUUUCAAGCUUCCAAGCUCCAUAGUAAGUGAUCCCAAGCCCCGUUUUUAAUGUUCUUUACGUUUUUGAGAUCCCGGUAGCUUAAUUUAGCUUAUUCUAGCAAUAAUUUAACCUAGGGUUUAUAUUUUGAAAAAUACCCAUAGGUGAAAAGUGUUUAUUUUGAUGUUUUAUGAUAGAAUAUGAAGCUAGAAAUUAUGUUAAACAACUUUUGCUAAGCGAUUUUAAGUGAAAACGAGUAAAACGACAUAAUCGGUAAAAAUACCUAAUGUUCAUAAGUACAUGUUAGAGUGGGAAUUUGAUGUUUCCAUAGAAGGGGAAAAUGUUCAGAAUGUUAUAAAACAUAAGAAUAAGAGAUGAAGUUUAAUUUCCGAGCCUUGGGGCAAAAAUGUAAUUAUGUAAAAGUUUAGGGGCAAAAUUGUAAUUUUGAAAAAGUUAGAGUCGAUGGCUGUUUUAAUGAAUGUGAUUAUUAAAUAAGUUAAAUUUACUAUUUUAGAUCAAGAAGUACGAAACUCGAGGUUAGACAAAGGGAAGAAUAAAGUUGAAGACUAAGUUGGUGAAUUUGGCUAUAAUUGGUACCGAGGUAAGUUUACGGUAAAUAAAUGCAAUAUUUCAAUAUUUAUUAUUAAUUCUGUUAAUUUCCAGCAAUUAUGAAUUUAUUUUAUGAAUUUAUUUGAUGAUGAUCCGAGCAUGAAAUGAUAGAGAAUUAAAAUUUAAAAGUCCCGUUGAUACAUAAGGAUGGUACUGGAUACGAAUGUCAUGACAUUUGGGUAAAGAGAUCCCAUGUAAGACCAUGUCUGGGACAUGGCAUUGGCAUCCUUAAGAUCAUGAGAGGUCCCCUGUAAGACCAUGUCUGGGACAUGGCAUGGGCACCGAGACGAGAGGUCCCAUGUAAGACCAUGUCUGGGACAUGGCGUUGGCACCGAGAUGAGAGAUCCCCUAUAAGACCAUGUCUGGGACAUGGCAUGGGCACCAUCACGAGAACAUCCCAUGUAAGACCAUGUCUGGGACAUGGCUUUGGCAUGUUAUUAUCAGAAGAGACCCGAGUAUCCUUAUUAUUCCAAUGUAGCUCAACGGGCUUGUAAACGAAUCAUGUUCAUGAAAGUUCAGUUUAAAGCAUAAAUGGCAAGCUCAUGUAAGUUGUAAGACUUAAGAACUUAUUAUACUAUCAAUUGAUGUUCAACGAUGCAGCAAGGAUUGAGUAAGUUAUGCACACAAGUAUUCUAAGUAAACAAGUAAGAGAACUAGUAUGAGAUUAACUAAAGAGUAAACUAGAGAUAUAGACAUUAAGUUUAAUUAUUUAAGUUAAAUAUUGUUAUUUAUUUGCUAGUAAACUUACUAAGCUUUAUGCUUACUUCUUUUAUUUCUCUUUCUCUUAUAGUAUUGCAAAGCUACUUCAAGGAUCCUAAAGAAGUCGGAGAUCGUCCACACUAUCAACUACAACUGCUCGGUAUUUUAUAUCGAAACACGUUUGAGUUAUGGCAUGUAUAGGGAUUUAGUUAUUUUGUAUGUUUGUAAUGAUGAUUUUGCUAAUGAGUGAUGUGUAAGUAUUUGAUGAUGUAUGGUUAUUAAAAUGGUUAAGGAUGAAGGUGUUUGUUGUUAUGAAAGAUUAGGUGAUAAAUUAUGCAUGGAAAUCAUGAAAGGAUAAAAUUUUGCAAAGAAACAGAAUUCAGGCAGCACAGUGACGUGAAUUUGAAAAAUCACCCAAGAUAGUAUAAAAUGAAUUAGAGGGUGAAUGAUAUAUGGAAUUAAAGCUUGUUGAGUCUAUUUUCAUGGAAAAAUAACGGUGUAGAAAAAGGAAAUUUAUAUUUUAAGAUAUGUGAAUUUUAGUAAGAUAGGGUCAGAACUGUUUUUGGAGUCCCCUGUUCUGAGUUUAGAAAAUAAUUACAAAUUGUACAAAAAUGGUUAUGAGUUGAAAUUUACAUGCUUAGAUUCCUUAAUGAGUCUAUUUUCUGUAUAAACAAGUAAGAACUUCAUAUGAAAAUCCUACAGUUAGAAAACUUAUUUUUAGUGACUAGAGGUCAGGGCAGUCAGGUGGUGAAACAGGGGAGACUUUAACUAAUAAACUGUACUAAUUUGCUGAACCAAAAAUUCUAAAAAUUUUAUGGUGAGUAGAUAUAUGAGUCUAGUUUCAGGGAAAAAUUACGGAAUUAAAUUUCGAGUUCUGUAGCUCAAGUUAUAAUUAAUUUAGUAACUGCUGCGCGAUUGGACAGAUUUGCUGCGAAUAAUGAAAUAAAUUUUCAAACCUAGUUUUUAUGCUCCAAAUUGGUAAGAUAAGCUAAGUAAUGCCUCGUGCUCGACUCCGGAAACGGUCUCAGGUAAGGGGUGUUACAUUUUAUUGGUAUCAGAGCCAGGUUUAGUCGGUUCUCGGAAAUACUCAGUAAGAAUAAGAGUCUACCUAUACAUGCCAUACUUAUAUAUUUUGAUAGUGUGACGACUCCUGACGAUUUUAAAAUGUUUUCUUUUAUAGUUAUGGAUCCUGAACGAGCUAGUACAGAUGAAGUAGAGAGUAAUGCACCUAUUCCCGCAGAAGGGACGGUGCCAUCAGAUGUUAAUGUUAGUGAAAGACCUGCAUCAGAUAGACAGGGAGGAGGAGCUAGAGAAGCCUUCUUCCAAGCAAUGACUGAUUGGUUUGCCGAGUUCGUUCGUACGAAUCCGGCUGUAAGACCUCCACCCCCUCAAGAUUCACAGGUUCCCCAUGUAGCUUCCCCAGCUGCAGGUAUAUUUAUCAGGGAGAGACCACCUAUUGAUAAGAUUAGGAAGCAAGGGGCUGAAGAAUUUCGGGCUACCAAAGAUGACGAUGCAGAAAAAGCAGAAUUCUGGCUUGAGAAUACCAUCAGGGUUUUUGAAGAAUUAUCUUGUACACCGGAAGAAUGUAUGAAGUGUGUGGUCUCACUUCUCAGAGAUUCCGCUUAUCAUUGGUGGAAGACUCUCGUGUCUAUCGUACCGAGUGAGAGGGUUACUUGGGAUUUCUUUCAGGAGGAGUUUCGAAAGAAGUACAUCAGCCAGAGAUUUACAGAGCAGAAAAGGAAGGGGUUUCUUGAGCUAAAACAAGGUAAGAUGUCCGUGACUGAAUAUGAACGCGAAUUUGUCAGACUUAGUAAGUAUGCUCGGGAAUUUGUAUCCACUGAAGCCAACAUGUGCAAGAGAUUUGAAGAUGGGCUUAAUGAUGACAUCCGACUAUCAGUGGGUGUAUUGGAAAUCAGAGAGUUUGUUGUUCUGGUAGAAAGAGCUUGUAAAGUAGAAGACUUGUUAAAAGAAAAAGAGAAGAGCAAAGCUGAAGCUGGAGCGCAGGAUACAAAGAAGAGGCAAAUGAGUAAAUCAUUUCAGUCUACAUCUAAGAGGCCUAGGGAGCUCUCUAGCGGAUCACAUUUUCCACAUAUAUAUUCUGGCCGAAGCAGAAGUAGAAGAUUCGAGGGUUUUAGAGCUCAAACCACUACAGUUGCAAGUACUGGCAGAACUCGACCUCCUAGACCGGAAUGUCCUCAAUGUGGGAGACGCCAUCCCGGAGAGUGUAGAGCAGGUGAAAAUGUUUGUUUCAGAUGUGGAGCAUCCGAUCACUUUAUUCGGGAUUGUCCUGAAACAACUAAAAAAGAAGAAAUAACGAGUGCGAGAUCAGGUAAUGCUCCUACCAGAGGUAGACCGCAGAGAAACUCAGGAGUGGGGGCAAGUAAUAGGGGUGCAUUCAAAGAUUCAGCGGUUAGAUCAGAUGUUAGAGCACCUGCAAGAUCAUAUGCUAUUCGAGCUCGUGAAGAGGCGUCCUCUCCUGAUGUAAUUGCGGGUACAUUUUCUCUCUAUGAUACUACUGUUAUUGCAUUAAUUGAUCCUGGCUCUACACAUUCAUAUAUAUGCACAAAAUUAGCAUUUGUUAAAAAUUUGUCUGUUGAACCUACUGAAUUUAUGGUUAAAGUCUCGAACCCCCUGGGCCAGUUUGUGAUAGUGGAUAAAGUUUGUAAAAAUUGUCCACUAAUGGUAAAAGGUAUUUGUUUCCCGGUUGACUUGAUGUUAUUGCCUUUUGAUGAGUUUGAUGUGAUAUUGGGCAUGGAUUGGUUAACUCAGCAUGAUGCGGUAGUAAACUGUAGACAAAAAUAUGUUGUGUUGAAAUGCCAGAAUGGAGAAUUACUUUGGGUUAAAUCUAAUCAGACAGAGGGAUUAUCCGAUAUGAUUUCAGUUAUGACAGCUUAGAGGUGUGUUAGAAAAGGGUAUGAUGUUUAUUUGGCGUAUGUGUUGGAUACUAAGGUAUCUGAGUCAAAGAUACAGGCAGUGCCAGUUGUAUGUGAAUUUUCUGAUGUAUUUCCAGAGGAGUUACCAGGGUUGCCACCAGAAAGAGAAGUGGAAUUUUCUAUAGAUCUGAUUCCGGGAACUGCCCUAAUUUCCAUAGCUCCGUAUCGUAUGGCUCCUAUAGAAUUAAAAGAGUUAAAGGCACAGUUACAGGAACUUGUUGACAGAGGUUUUGUUCGUCCGAGUCAUUCACCUUGGGGUGCUCCAGUUCUGUUUGUGAAAAAGAAAGACGGGUCUUUGAGAUUAUGUAUUGACUAUCGGCAGCUUAAUAAGGUAACUAUAAAGAAUAAGUACCCAUUGCCUCGAAUUGAUGACUUAUUUGAUCAACUGAAAGGUGCCACAGUAUUUUCAAAGAUUGAUCUCCGAUCGGGUUAUUAUCAGUUACGGGUAAAAGAGCCAGAUGUGCCAAAGAAAGCUUUCAGAACCAGGUAUAGGCAUUAUGAGUUUCUGGUUAUGCCGUUUGGGUUGACUAAUGCACCUGCAGUAUUCAUGGAUUUGAUGAACCGGAUAUUCAGACCGUAUCUAGAUAGGUUUGUAGUAGUUUUUAUUGAUGACAUUUUAGUUUAUUCUCGGGAUGAAACUGAGCAUGCAGAACAUUUGAAAAUAGUGUUGCAAAUUCUGCGUGAAAAGAAACUUUAUGCUAAAUUCAGUAAAUGUGAAUUUUGGCUUCGAGAGGUAGGUUUUCUCGGACAUAUUGUAUCCGCAGAAGGCAUCAGGGUAGAUCAGAGUAAAAUUUCAGCUAUUGUCAAUUGGAGUCCACCGAAAAAUGUAUCUGAAGUUAGAAGUUUCUUGGGUUUAGCUGGUUAUUAUCGGAGAUUUGUACAAGGGUUUUCUAUGAUAGCUUCUUCAAUGACCCGUUUAUUACAGAAAGAUGUUAAAUUUGAAUGGACAGAAAAAUGCCAGCAAAGUUUCAACCGAUUGAAGGAGUUGUUAACGAAAGCACCUGUGUUGGUACAGCCUGAAUCGGGUAAGGAAUUUAUUAUUUAUAGUGAUGCAUCAUUAAAUGGUUUGGGUUGUGUCUUGAUACAAGAAGAUAAAGUAAUAGCCUAUGCUUCAAGACAACUUAAGCCACAUGAAAGAAACUACCCGGUACAUGAUCUCGAGUUAGCUGCUAUUGUAUUUGCAUUGAAAAUAUGGCGGCAUUAUUUGUAUGGUGAAAAGUGUCAUAUUUAUACUGAUCACAAAAGCUUGAAAUAUUUGAUGACACAGAAAGAUUUGAAUUUGAGACAACGCAGGUGGCUUGAAUUGAUAAAGGAUUAUGAUUUGGUUAUUGAUUACCAUCCGGGUAAGGCUAACGUGGUAGCUGAUGCUUUGAGCCAAAAAUCUCUAUUUGCUUUACGAGCUAUGAAUACCCGGUUGUCACUGUCUAAUGAUGGUUCAAUCAUAGCUGAAUUGAGAGCUAAAUCGACAUUUCGUCAACAAAUAUGUGAAGCUCAGAGGAAUGAUGAGAAAUUACAGGCUAAACGGGUGCAUUGUGAGUCAGGUAAUGAUUCAGAAUUUCAUAUUGGAACUGAUGGUUGUUUAUUAUUCAGAGGCAGAGUAUGUGUACCGAAGAAUUCAGAACUUGUACAGAAGAUUUUACACGAAGCACACAGUGGUAAUAUGUCCGUACAUCCGGGAGGUAAUAAAAUGUAUAAUGACUUGAAAAAGAUGUAUUGGUGGCCGAGUAUGAAACGUGAUAUCUCUGAGUUUGUAUCAAGAUGUUUAGUAUGUCAGCAGGUUAAGGCUGAACAUCAGGUACCUUCGGGGUUGCUUCAGCCAAUCACUAUACCGGAAUGGAAAUGGGAAAGAAUCACUAUGGAUUUUGUAUCUGGGUUACCGUUAUCUCCGAGGAAGAAAGAUGCCAUUUGGGUAAUUGUCGACCGAUUGACAAAGUCCGCGCACUUUAUCCCAGUAUGUAUGGAUUAUUCUUUAGAUAAAUUGGCUGGAUUGUAUAUAUCUGAGAUUGUUAGACUACAUGGAGUGCCUAUCUCCAUUAUAUCAGACAGAGAUCCCCGAUUUACGUCUCGUUUCUGGAACAAAUUGCAAGAAGCUUUGGGUACUCAGUUGUAUUUCAGUACUGCAUUUCAUCCUCAGACAGAUGGCCAAUCUGAGCGUGUAAUUCAGGUAUUGGAAGAUAUGCUCCGAUUUUGUGCAUUAGAGUUUCAAGGUAAUUGGGAAAGGUAUCUACCUUUGAUUGAAUUUGCUUAUAAUAACAGUUAUCAGUCCAGUAUUAAAAUGGCUCCGUAUGAAGCUUUGUAUGGUAGAAAAUGUAGAACACCAUUAUAUUGGACAGAGCUCAGUGAAAAGAAGAUACACGGGGUUGAUUUGAUUCGGGAAACAGAAGAAAAAGUAAGACUGAUUCGGGAUAGUUUAAAAGCAGCUUCCGAUCGUCAAAAGUCAUACGCCGAUCUUAAACGAAGGGAGAUUGAAUUUCAGGUGGGUGAUAAAGUAUUCUUAAAAGUGUCUCCUUGGAAGAAAGUUCUCCGGUUCGGUCGAAAGGGUAAAUUGAGUCCAAGAUUUAUCGGACCAUAUGAGAUUAUAGAAAGAAUUGGACCAGUUGCUUACCGAUUGGCUUUACCACCGGAACUCGACAAAAUUCAUAAUGUAUUUCAUGUAUCUAUGCUACGACGGUAUCGAUCAGAUCCUUCACAUGUUAUUACUCCAACAGAAGUAGAAAUUCAGCCGGAUAUGACUUAUAAUGAAGAACCGGUUAAAGUAUUAGUACGAGAAACAAAGGAGCUUAGAAACAAAAAGGUAAAUCUGGUGAAAGUGCUAUGGCAAAAGCACGGGAUUGAGGAAGCAACAUGGGAACCGGAAGAGACAAUGAGGAAGCAAUACCCGAAUCUCUUUACUGGUAAGAUUUUCGAGGACGAAAAUCCUAAACAGGGGGGGAGAGUUGUAAUGGCCCAAAUUUGAGGUUAUCGGAACAGUGGUUUCGGGACCACAAAUCCGAUGAGAAAAAUUUUAUUUUUCUUAUAUUUUUAUGGUCUACAAUUUCACAAAAUGAUUUUUUGAAAAUUUCGUUCGAAAAUUUCGACGUUUGGGCACUCAAUUUAGUCAAAAGGACUAAAUUGUAAAAAGUGCAAAAGUUGAGUUCUACAUGUUAGAGGUGUCCAAUUGUUAUGAAACUUUAAAUUGGAGGUCUUUAUAUGAUAAUUAUACCAUUGGUAACUUGAUAGACAAAAAUGGACAUGAGAUAAGUGAAAUAGAAAAUUUUUAAGUUAGGGGUAAUUUGGUAAUCUAGUAAUUAAAAUGAAUUAAAAGGGAAAAAGAUGGCAAAAAUCAUCAUCUUCUUCAUAUGAACGAAAUCAGCAAGGGGGGAAGCCAUAGUUAGGGUUUUCAAGCUUCCAAGCUCCAUAGUAAGUGAUCCCAAGCCCCGUUUUUAAUGUUCUUUACGUUUUUGAGAUUCCGGUAGCUUAAUUUAGCUUAUUCUAGCAAUAAUUUAACCUAGGGUUUAUAUUUUGAAAAAUACCCAUAGGUGAAAAGUGUUUAUUUUGAUGUUUUAUGAUAUAAUAUGAAGCUAGAAAUUAUGUUAAACAACUUUUGCUAAGCGAUUUUAAGUGAAAACGAGUAAAACGACAUAAUCGGUAAAAAUACCUAAUGUUCAUAAGUACAUGUUAGAGUGGGAAUUUGAUGUUUCCAUAGAAGGGAAAAAUGUUCAGAAUGUUAUAAAACAUAAGAAUAAGAGAUGAAGUUUAAUUUCCGAGCCUUGGGGAAAAAUGUAAUUAUGUAAAAGUUUAGGGGCAAAAUUGUAAUUUUGAAAAGGUUAGAGUCGAGGGCUGUUUUAAUGAAUGUGAUUAUUAAAUAAGUUAAAUUUAAUAUUUUAGAUCAAGAAGUACGAAACUCGAGGUUAGACAAAGGGAAGAAUAAAGUUGAAGACUAAGUUGGUGAAUUUGGCUAUAAUUGGUACCGAGGUAAGUUUACGGUAAAUAAAUGCAAUAUUUCAAUAUUUAUUAUUAAUGCUGUUAAUUUCCAGCAAUUAUGAAUUUAUUUUAUGAAUUUAUUUGAUGAUGAUCCGAGCAUGAAAUGAUAGAGAAUUAAAAUUUAAAAGUCCCGUUGAUACAUAAGGAUGGUACUGGAUACGAAUGUCAUGACAUUUGGGUAAAGAGAUCCCAUGUAAGACCAUGUCUGGGACAUGGCAUUGGCAUCCUUAAGAUCAUGAGAGGUCCCCUGUAAGACCAUGUCUGGGACAUGGCAUGGGCACCGAGACGAGAGGUCCCAUGUAAGACCAUGUCUGGGACAUGGCGUUGGCACCGAGAUGAGAGAUCCCCUAUAAGACCAUGUCUGGGACAUGGCAUGAGCACCAUCACGAGAACAUCCCAUGUAAGACCAUGUCUGGGACAUGGCUUUGGCAUGUUAUUAUCAGAAGAGACCCGAGUAUCCUUAUUAUUCCAAUGUAGCUCAACGGGCUUGUAAACGAAUCAUGUUCAUGAAAGUUCAGUUUAAAGCAUAAAUGGCAAGCUCAUGUAAGUUGUAAGACUUAAGAACUUAUUAUACUAUCAAUUGAUGUUCAACGAUGCAGCAAGGAUUGAGUAAGUUAUGCACACAAGUAUUCUAAGUAAACAAGUAAGAGAACUAGUAUAAGAUUAACUAAAGAGUAAACUAGAGAUAUAGACAUUAAGUUUAAUUAUUUAAGUUAAAUAUUGUUAUUUAUUUGCUAGUAAACUUACUAAGCUUUAUGCUUACUUCUUUUAUUUCUCUUUCUCUUAUAGUAUUGCAAAGCUACUUCAAGGAUCCUAAAGAAGUCGGAGAUCGUCCACACUAUCAACUACAACUGCUCGGUAUUUUAUAUCGAAACACGUUUGAGUUAUGGCAUGUAUAGGGAUUUAGUUAUUUUGUAUGUUUGUAAUGAUGAUUUUGCUAAUGAGUGAUGUGUAAGUAUUUGAUGAUGUAUGGUUAUUAAAAUGGUUAAGGAUGAAGGUGUUUGUUGUUAUGAAAGAUUAGGUGAUAAAUUAUGCAUGGAAAUCAUGAAAGGAUAAAAUUUUGCAAAGAAACAGAAUUCAGGCAGCACAGUGACGUGAAUUUGAAAAAUCACCCAAGAUAGUAUAAAAUGAAUUAGAGGGUUAAUGAUAUAUGGAAUUAAAGCUUGUUGAGUCUAUUUUCAUGGAAAAAUAACGGUGUAGAAAAAGGAAAUUUAUAUUUUAAGAUAUGUGAAUUUUAGUAAGAUAGGGUCAGAACUGUUUUUGGAGUCCCCUGUUCUGAGUUUAUAAAAUAAUUACAAAUUGUACAAAAAUGGUUAUGAGUUGAAAUUUACAUGCUUAGAUUCCUUAAUGAGUCUAUUUUCUGUAGAAACAAGUAAGAACUUCAUAUGAAAAUCCUACAGUUAGAAAACUUAUUUUUAGUGACUAGAGGUCAGGGCAGUCAGGUGGUGAAACAGGGGAGACUUUAACUAAUAAACUGUACUAAUUUGCUGAACCAAAAAUUCUAAAAAUUUUAUGGUGAGUAGAUAUAUGAGUCUAGUUUCAGGGAAAAAUUACGGAAUUAAAUUUCGAGUUCUGUAACUCAAGUUAUAAUUAAUUUAGUAACUGCUGCGCGAUUGGACAGAUUUGCUGCGAAUAAUGAAAUAAAUUUUCAAACCUAGUUUUUAUGCUCCGAAUUGGUAAGAUAAGCUAAGUAAUGCCUCGUGCUCGACUCCGGAAACGGUCUCGGGUAAGGGGUGUUACAUUGAACCUAGCAUGGGCGAGCAUUAUUGGCCCAGUUAGGGCAAUGGGUGGUAGCAUGAGAGUUCCUCUCCCAUGGUAAGUCACUGGCCAUUAGAAAUUUAGUGAUAUUUUAUUUGAAUAAUUUUUGUUGAGUUUAUAUUUUAGAUUAAGAGUCCAAGAAUUAUAAUUUGCAAUUAGAGAUUUUAAGAUUUUUAGUUUUAGCAUAUUGUGAUUUGCACAAUACUCUUUGUUGGGAGAGCUGGUUUUUGUCUUGUAUUUGAUUUUUUGUAUUAGAGCUUAAUUUAAAGUAAUUGUGAAUUCCAUAAUAAUAAAAAGGAAUUGGAGACUUUGGAUUUCCCUACCACUCAACACAGAGAUAUUUAGUUGAUCAAAUUUAUUGUUUUAGAUAUUAUGACAAACAUUGUUUUCAGAAAAAAUAAAAUAAAAUUUCCUAUGCUAGUUUUGACAUAUUUUCUAAAUAUUAUUCCAAAAUUUAUUACUUUACAAGAAUGUAACUUCCAUUAAAACUACAAUAGACAAAGAACAAUUUUAAAAUAACAUGACAUGAGCCCUUAAUUAAUAUGUUUGUUCUGAUAUCAUCACGAGCUAGCCAUUCGUUUGAAAAGGGUUUGGACAAAAAUAUAGGAUUGGAAAAAAAUAAAACCUAUUUUUUAAAUGGGUUAGGCCUUGGGUAGAAUUUUUUGGUUUAGGCCCGACCCAAAUUACAUGCCUAUACUUUCUUUUUUUUUUGUAUUUUCAAUUUGUUAAGAAAUAUUUAUUUUAAUAUUUAGUGUAUUUGGUGUAUUAUAAUUUUUAAAUUUGUUUUUAUAUUAAAAAAUCUAAUAAAACAAAGAGUAUUACAAUCAAGUUUGGUUUAGACAAAAUUUUAAGCGCAUUUUUCAAGUCAAACAUAGAAAGCGGACCUAAAAAUUUACAAUGAUUUGAUACGAACUUGACUCGACCCAUAAUCAGAUCUAGUCUAGUGAUGACAGAAAAUAGGAGAGAUUUGAAUUAAACUGGUGAUGAUAGAAAAUUAUGGAGGUUGAUUUGAAAAACAUAAGAUUAGAAUGGGAAGAGACACCGUAUGAUUAUUUUGUCCUUAGGUUUACCACACUCUCUCUUUUGCCAUUUCAACCUUCAAACCAAUGAUCAUAACCUGCUUCUCACCCGCCCACUACAUGAGUUUCAUGAGGGCUCAUUAAAUUGGGCCCACUUAAUCUCUUUCAGUUUUCUACCUCAAUAUUAGUAGGUUCUAAGGCUUCCGCCCAAUCAUUUUCGCCCAACCCCACAUUACACGAGUUCUCAACCAACAUUUCUUCUUCUUUACUCCUUAAUUAAUUCACGCAAUUUUUUUUACCAUUUAUAAGCUACUCAUAACUCUGUUGAAGCCCAUAAUCUAGAAAUUGUUGCAAUAACAAUGAUAUUAAUUGAGUUUAGGCUUAGUCGAUAUUUGCGUAAAAUGCUAAAUUGCUUUUGUUACUUGUCAUUUCAUAAUGUCCCAGAAAUAUGCAUUCAAACAUUCCUUCUUAGAACUGCCACCAAUUUUAUUUUCCCAUACCAAUGCAUUGUUAUAGAUUUUUGGAAAAUAUGAAUACUUGGCUGCAACUUAUUGAUAGGCCUAAAAUGGGAACUUAGUCAAAAGACUGAGAAAAUAACAUAUUCCACUAGUAUGCCCUCCUCAAGUUCAGGAUUGAAGUUCAACACCUAACUUUGGAAAGGUUACAAUCAGCAACUGCCAUGGGAAGUGCCUUCGUGAGUAUAUCAGCAACCUGAUCUACAACAUCGAAAUAGCGAGCAUUAAUUCUUUGCGACCAACAUAGCAAUGAACAAAGAGAGCAUCGACUUCUAAAUGAUUCUUCUUGUUAUGCACCACAAGGUGUUGACAACGUAGAAUGUUCCUCAGGUUGUCGGCUUGUCGCAUAAUAUUGUAGGUGGAUGCAUAAAAGGUAUUUGAAGCAGCUAACCCAAAGAGUUUCAGAAGCAGCUGCAACAGAACGGUACUAAGCUUUGGUUGAACAUCAUAGAACAGUAACUUGUUUUUUAAAUGCCCAAUUGAUGGGAGUGAGAACAAAAAUAGAAUAUAACCAGUUGCGGACACACAACCAUUAGGAUCACUAGCCCAAUCUGCAUCAUUGUACAUGUAAAAAUUUGAGCCACAUCAAUUAGAUAAAUGAAGACUAUGAAGUAUUGUUCAAGGGCAAAGCUAGAAUAUUUUUCUAGAAUAUUUUAGGGGAGCUAGGCCCAGCCUGCCCCUUCUAACUUCGCUGCUGGUGUUGCUUGUUGCAAGUAACACAACAAUCUUUUGAUUGCUAGCUAAUGUAUUUUAGAUGGAUUGUGCUUGUAUUGGGACAAUUUAUUAAUGAUAGAAUAAGAAAUGCAUGGCCUUGUGAAUGUCAAAUAAUGUAGUUUUCCAUACACUCUUCUAAAUUCUGUUGCAUUGGUCCAACUAGUUUCAUCAUUUAACACCAAAGCCUCUGAGGAACUCAUAGGAUUUAAACACCUUUUCUCUUGUGCAGAUUUGUCUUGCAAAUAAGACUGUUAAGCUUUUAUUUAUCAAGCUUUAGAUAUAAUAAUAUUUCAAAUAAACUGUUCAUAGUAUUUCUUAAGUAAUUUAUAUUAGAAAACAAAAUAAAUUCUUAGAAAAUAAUUGAAGAGAAAAAUAAAAUCAAGAACAAUUGUUUGAAUCGAUUUUACUCCUAUAUUAUAUUUUUGAGUUAAUCAGAGAACUUUAUAAACAUUUUAAAGUGAUUUUGGGUCAAAAGUACACUAAUGGCUUUUCUUCAAGUUUCUCUUGAUGAAUAGGUGUUUGUGAAACAAUCACUGAAGUUUGAAGAUUACAUCAGUCAAAAUCAUGUAUGCAAAUAGUUUAAGGUUAUUUAUGGGCUCAAAGCAAGCCCCACAUCGAUGGCAUAAAGAGUUUCACCUAAGUUAUCACGCAACUUUGGAAACAUCAACAUCCUUCCACGUGACCUGUCACGUGCCAUUUUCUUGUGAUUAUCGAUAAUCAUGUUACUGGUGUUAAUGGACAUAUCGGUUAAAAAACUAUUUUUGUUAACAUAAUGGACUAAUUAAAUUUUUUUAUCAUUAAAGGUUCAAUUAAGUGCAUUUUUUCAUAUGGAUUUAAUUGAUUUUUUUUUUAUUAUUUGCUGUGAGAAUUUUAGUUUUUAUACUUUAGUCUAUUAUUAAAUUUUAUUUUAUUUUAUUUUAGCGUGUGGACUUAAAAAUGCUUCUUAUUUUGUUCCUAUUUUGUUAGAGACAAGGACGGUCCACUUAAUGCAAACAUAUCUUAAUAUAUUAGUGAUUUUUAUAAAUUUUUAUUUUGAACACAAAAAUAAAAAAUUUGUAAUUUAAGUAGUGUCGUUUCAUUUUUUUAUCAUUUUAGUUGAUCAUCGCUAUUUCUUUAUUAAAUAUAUUCAUUUUAACCCCUCAAUUUUAGUAAGUUUUCAAUUUAGUCAUUCAUUUUCUUUUUAAAAUUGUUUUUUUUCAAAAAAAACCCUCGAUUUUUAGAGAGAAUUAAGCUAUUCAACUACUGAGAUGAAACCUAAGUUUUCAACCUAUAGUUCAAUUCCAUGUAAAAACUCAGGUUUUUCCCAAACUUUUCAAAACCGGAUUGAUGGUCGAACUGGCCAGGUUGUUGAUUUUUCAAUCCGAACUGUCCGAACAACUCAAUUAAAUAAAUCAUCAAAUAAUUAAUAAAAAUAAAAAUAUUAAAAAUCAGUUCAACUUUUUUUAGCUCGGUUAAAUCAAUUUGUACUAGUUCCUAACUCAAUCAGUCUAAAGGCUUUCUUUGGACCGAUAUCCCAAACGAUUAUUAAUCUAAUCGGUCUGACCAAUCAGUCCAGUUCAAUUUAGAUAACCAUGGUUUUUCCUCUAAAACCCCAAGUAUUACCCUUUUGUUAAAGAAAAAAAAUAGUUUUAAAAAAUAAAAUAAUAAAAUAAUUUUCCUUGUAAAAACCCUUUGAAUUUCUUAUGAAACUCUAGGUUUUCCCUUUUAUCAAAAAAAUAAAAUUAAUUCUAAAAUAGAGAAGUGAAAAAGAUAAAUUAAUUUUUCUAGUAAAAAUUUUAAAAAAUUCCUAUAAAAGCCCAAGUAAUUCCCUAUAAAGCUCUAGGUUUUUCCCUUAUCUUCUACAGAGUAAAACUAAAAUUAUUUUUAAAAAGGAAACUAAAAAUAUAAAAUGAUUUUUCAAAUCCAAAUUUCUCCGAUAAAAUUUCAAGUUUUUCUUACAAAAAAAAACUAAAAGUAAUUAUUUUAAGAAAUUAAAAAAUAAAAUAAGUGAUUAAAAUAAAAAUUUACUAAAAUUAGGUGGUUAAAAUAAAUGUUUUUAAUAGAUAAUUAACCGCGAGCAAUUAAAAUGAUAAAAAAAUACAACUAUAAUAAUUAAAAUGAUAAAAAUAUAUAAUAACAGUACUUAAAUUUAAAAAAAAAAAAUUUAAUACCCAAAAUGAAAAAUUAUGAAAGCUAAGUGACCAAUAGUUUACGUUGUUAUUAUUAUUAUUAUUAUUUUUUUUUUUUUUUUUUUGUGGAUGUGAUUUCUUUGAAGUGAAGAAAAAUCGAAAAAAAAAAAGUACAUGAAGUUUUUUUUGGAAGUUUUCUAAAUUGCUUUAAAGACUUUUGCCUCUGGCCAUCCACGAGGUUUCCAUUUUUGCGACCAUCCAUUCUUUUUUUAAUUUGACAUAAUAAUUUAUUUUGCCCUCUCUAAUUUAAUAAAAUAAAAAAAUUAUUUUUUUAUUUUUUAGUUAAGUUUUUUUUUGACAAAUCACUUUAAUAUUAAUGAAAAAGUUAACAUUUUUUUAAAUUUUUUUGACAAAUGGAUUUCCACAUUCAGCAUUUAAUUAAUUUUUUAAAAUUUAAAAAAUAUAUAAAAAUUAUUUUUAAAAUUUAAAAAUUAUUAAAAUUAUUUAAAACUUAUAAAAUAAUAUUUUUAAUAUUUUUAAAAAUUAAUUAAAUGUUAUCGUGUCAUCUGUAUGGCAAUUCACGUAUACGUUACGUCAACAAAAUUAAGUAAAAAUAUAAGCCUGAAAAAUGAGUUUGGACAAAAAAAUAAGGCUUGUUUAGAAAAAUGGGCCGAGCUUUAGGUAAGCCUUUUUCGGCCUAGCCCGAAUAUGUAAAAAAAACCUGUAGUUUUUUUUUUGCUAUUUUCUUGUUGUUUUUUUAUUAUUUUAUUACCAUUUCACUAUUAUGUUGCUACUAUUUUAUUGUUAUUGUAUAACUCUUGUUUUAUCAUUAAUUUUAUUACUAUUUUAGAUGCAUUUGCUUGUUAAGUUGCACCAAUCCUAGUGUUAUUUAAGUAUAAUUAUUUUUUAAAAUUUAUUUUCAAUAUGUCAGGAAACAUUUAUUUUAAUGUCUUUAGUAUUUUUAUGUAUUAAAAUUUUAAAAAUAAUAUAAAAAAUUUAAUAUGGGUUUGGCCCAAGUUUUAAUAUUUUUAUUUAGGUCGGGCUUAGACAAAAUUUUAGAUCCAUUUUUCGGGUCGGACUCGAGCCUAACAAAUGGGCCUAAAAUUUUAAUUAGACCCGACCCGGCCCAUAAGCACCUCUAAAUGUACCUUCAUCACAAACCGACCGGUUAACUAACUCGAGUUACCAUUAACCGAAUUAACUGACCUUUUAAACCCUUAACCAUUAACUGAACAGAACGUUUUUCAAAAAAAUUUAACCUAACCGAACUUUUUCGAUUAAUUCGGUCGGUUAACCGAAUUAAUCGAAAUUUAUAUAUAUUUUUAUUUUUGGUUAAAACAAGUAUAAAACAUAUAAAAAUUUAACCGACCCAUUAAUUUAUAUUUUCAACAAAUUAACUGAACCGGCCGAAUACUUAUAUAUUAUAAUAUUAUUUAUUAAAUUUGAUUAAUUCGGUUAAUCGACCGAUUUCUUAAUUCGGUUAACUGACCGAUUUCGAAUCGAAUUAACCGUUAACCGAACUUCCAAAAAAUUAUUAACCGACCCCCGACCAAAUUAAUUCGGUUUUACCCAAAAUUUACACACACCUAAUCCUCCCUAUUUUUAUUAAACAUUUAUGCUCUCUUUUUUUUUUUUACAUAAAUCCACCAUAUUUAAACUAAACAUUUUACACUAAUUUUAAAAAAUAUAAUAACAAUUUAACCUUCAAAUUUUAUAUAUUUAAUUAAUUUGACUAUUUUUUAGCUAAAUUUGAUUAAUCACUUUUCAAAAAUAGUUAAAUCAUUUUUUUAUCAAAAAUACUGACUAAAACAUUAAAGAUGCUUGCGUGACAACUUGUGUGGUAAUCCAUGUGUACAUCCACACUAACACGACACUGUUUGUCUUAUAUAUUAAAUUAACAAAUAAUUUAAAAAUUAUUAAAACAUUAAAAAAAAGGUUAAAUAAAGUACACAUGAAUUCCAUGCAAACUACCAUGUUUAAAAUUUAAAGUUUUAGUGUGUAUUUUUGUUAGAAAAAAAAAAGAGCACUUUGACUCUUUUUAAAAAAUUAAUUGUCAAAUUCAACUUUGUUUUAAAAGAUUGAGGACUAAAUUUAACUAAAAAAAAGAAAUAAAUAUCAAAUUGACAAAACGUAAAUAUUAAUGAUUAAAUUUAUCAUUAUGCAUUUUAAAAACUAAUCUCUAGGUUGUUCAUCAUCAUACCUACAUAUAAAAGGAAGGUCGAGGUUGAUAAGUGUUCCACCUUUUUUUCUACUAUAAGAAUGGGCAAAUCUGGCCUUGGAUAUGUCUUUUAUGUCAAAAUUUGUGAUUUAAUCAUUAUACUUUAAUUUUUAAUAGAAUUUGAUUUUUAUAUUUUAUAAUAUUAUUAAUUAGUCAAAAUAGUUUAUAUUGUUGGUUGCUUUGUUUAAAAUUUUGACAUGGACUUUUAAAAAUAUGCUAUUCUAAUAAAAUUAUAUGUAAAAAAAAAAACCUGUAAAUUUUUUUGUUGUUUUUUACUUUCUUUCUUUUUUUGCUAUUUUCUUGUUGUUUUUUCAUGAUUUUACUACCAUUUCACUAUUAUGUUGCUACUAUUUUGUCAUUAUUGUAUAACUCUUGUUUUAUCAUUAAUUUUGUUACUAUUUUAGAUGCAUUUGCUUGUUAAGUUACACUUAUCUUAAUGUUAUUUAAGUAUAAUUAUUUUUUAAAAUUUAUUCUCAAUAUGCCAGGAAACAUUUAUUUUAAUAUCUUUAGAUUUUUGAUGUAUUAAUUUUUUUAAAUAAUAUAAAAAUUAAUAUGGGUUUGGCCCAGGUUUUAACAUUUUUAUUUAGGCAGAGCUUAGACAAAAUUUUAGGUUCAUUUUUCAGUUCAGACUCGGGCUUAACAAAUGGGCCUAAAAUUUUAAUUGGACCCAACUCGGCCCAUAAGCAUCUCUAAUCAUACCUUCAUCACAACAAAUCUAUCCUCCCUAGGGUUGUUCAAUUAGUUAACCAAACCGAAUUACAAUUAACCGAAUUAACCAACCCUUUUAAAUCAUUAACCGUUAAACAAACAAUUUAAAAAAAAAAUUAACCGAACCUAACUUUUUCGGUUAAUUCGGUCAGUUAACUAAAUUAACCGAAAUUUUUAUUUUUUUUAGUUAAAACAAGUAUAAAACAUAUAAAAAAUUAACCGACCGAUUAAUUUAUAUUUCCAAAAAAUUAACCGAAUAGACGGAAUACUUAUAUAUUAUAAUAUUAUUUAUUUAAUUCGAUUAAUUCAGUUAACCGACCGAUUUUGAACUAAAUUAACCGUUAACCAAACUUCCAAAAAAUUAUUAAUCGACCCCCGACCGAAUUAAUUUAGUUUUACCUGAAAUUUACACACCUCUAAUCCUCACUACUUUUAUUAAACAUUUAUGCUUUUUUCUUUUUUACAUAAAUCCACCAUAAUUAAAUUAAACAUUUUAAACUAAUUUUUGAAAAAUAUAAUAAUAAAUUUAACCCUCAAAAUUUAUAUAUUUAAUUAAUUUGACUAUUUUUUAGCUAAAUUUGAUUAUUCACUUUUUCAAACGAGUUAAAUCGUUUUCUUAAUAAAAAAUGCUGACUAAAACAUUAAAAAUAUUACGUGACAACUCGUGUGGCAAUUCACGUGUACGUCCACACUAACACGACACUGUUUGUCUUAUAUGUUAAACUAACAAAUAAUUUAAAAAAUAUUAAAAUAUUUAAAAAAAAUCAAAAAAAUUAAAUAAAGUACACGUGGAUUCCGUGCAAACUUUCAUGUUUAAAAUUUAAUGUUUAGUGUGUGUUUUUUAUUUUUAAAAAAACCACUUUGACUUUUUUUAAAAAGUCAAUGAUUAAAUUCAAUUUUCUUUUAAAAGGUUGAGGACUAAAUUUAACUAAAAAAAAUCAAAUUGACAAAACAUAACUAUUAAUGAUUAAAUUUAUCAUUAUGCAUUUUAAAAACUAAUCUUUAAGUCAUUCAUCGUCAUGCCUAUAUCUAAAAAGGAAGGUCAAGCUUGAUAAGUGUUCCACUUUUUUUUAUACUAUAAGAAUGGGCAAAUCUCGCAUUAGGUCUGUCUUUUUAUGUCAAAAUUUAUGAUUUAAUCCUUAUACUUUAUUUUCUAAUAAAAUUUGAUCUUUAUAUUUUAUAAUAUUAUUAAUUAGUUUAAAUAAUUUAUACUGUUAGAUGCUUUAUUUAAAACUUUGACAUGGACUUCUAAAAAUAUGCUAUUCUAACAAAAAAAAUCUAUUUUGAUUGGAAUGCAUUUUUUUAAAAUCCAAUUAGUUACUGAAAUUAUUAACUAUGUUAAUUAUUUGAACUAACUAAUAACACAAUUUUUUUCUCUUUUUAUUCAUUAUAAUUAAUUAACUUAAAUAAUUAUAUGAUUACCCAAAAUGAAGGUAAAAAAAAAAAAGCAGAUGGAGAGAUGAUAAUGGAUGGGAAAAGGAGCAAUUAUUGGUGGAGUUGGAGACAUGGGUGAUGGGGCAAUGAAGCAAAACCCACAAAACUAUAAACAAGUAGAUGUGACGUAGAUGUCUGACAUUGGCAUCGUCAGGCAAGGAAUGUGUGGUUGUUUUCUUUACGUAUAGCUAUGCCUAUGCCUAUGGCCCCCUCUCUAUGCACAUGUGAUUUUCAAGUACUCCCUUCCCAACAUCACCAUCACCAUCCCUUUCUCUUUUCCUUUUUAACCCUUUACUUCCCCUUCCCCUAUUAUAAGUCUUUUCUGCAAACUCAUCCUCUAUAGUUGUAUGCUUGUGCUCAUUAAAAAAAUAAAAAAUUGAAACCCACCAAUAAAUUUAAUCCAUGCUUUCUACAUAUUUUUAUUUUCAUGUUUACCCUUUUCCACUAUAUAACCCAAAAAAGUUUCAAUAUUUUUAUUUUUCCUUAACUAUGUAUUAAUUAAGCUUCAUGAUAUAAUAAAAUAAACUUGAUAUAAAAAUAAAAUAUAAACACGAUAAGAAUAAAUAAAUAGAUAAUUAUUUUUACUCAACAUUUUAAAAUUUUUAAACUCCACAAACAUGAAUGAAAUUAUGACAAGCAUCAUAUUUGUUUAUACGUUAAUUUUUUUUAUACCUCAUAAACACAUCAUAUAUGUCACACCUUGAAGUUCGUUUACGAAAUUUAAAAAUUCCCAAACUACAUAUAUAUAUGAUAAUUUUCUUAAAUAAAUAUGUUAAAAUAUACAAAUUUGUAUAAAAGAUGUAAAAUAUAUUGAAUGUCAUACGAUACAAAUAUACGAAUUUUCAAAUUUAAUUUUAACAUAUGAGUUCAUUUUCAAUAAAGAUGAUUCUCUUUUAACAAGAUGCGAGAGAUUUGUCUUAACAAUGUAAUAAUAAUAAGUUUACUUUUAAAGUGGCAUUAAUUGUUUUUUGAGAACAAAAUGUUUGCUGGAAUACCAAAAACUCCAGUAUAUGUUUAUCAUUAAUCAAAAGACAAUACACUAUGUAUACCCAUCCCUUUCUAACGUCUCACACACACCUUAUCUUUAAUUAGUGUGUUAUUCAAUAAUUUAUUUAUUUAUUAAUCAAAUUAAGGUUUUGUUUGAUUAAGUAUUACGUUUUCUAAUAUUAUUUAUUAUAAUAUUUUUUUAUAAAUUUUAAUUUUUUUAAAAAUAUUUUUUUAAAGGUAUCUCGACAUUUAUGUGUGUCGAGUUCAAAUGAUUGUUAAAUCAUCAUAUGAGCAUGUAUGUCAAAAUAAAAGUAUCUCAAAGUACAGUCAACAAUACUUCGACUACCAUGGGUGCCAAGUUUAGGGUGUGAACUUCGAUUAGAAAGUUUAUUUGCCCGUUGUCUUAAUUAUGGGAGUCAAGUUUUGUUCUAUAAAUACCAUACUCAUUUUUCUUUUCUUUCCGCCCAAAAUCCACCACCAAAAAAAAAAAAAAAACUUGUGUUUUUGCAUUUAUUAAGGUUUCAAGAUGAGCGCAUAGUAAUCAUGUCGUCAAUAUGUUGAAAUUUUCAAGUUAUUUUUUUUAAAUUUCGUUAAUUUUAUAGAAAUUUUAUGAUAUUACGAAAUUAAAUAAUUAUUUUUUUUUUGUGAUAUAUUGAACAACAAGAAGCUCGAAUUAUUCACAUUUGAUAUAAUAAUAAAAAAUUCUCGAAGAUCAUUGCAUGUACCAAAGAUUACCUGAAAAGUGUUGGUUUAUAUGUGAUAUCUAUGAUAAUAAAUUUUAGCAUGAUACUAGAGUUAGUUAUCGCCUUAUUGUAAAGAUGAAUUUCGAAAACACAUACAUUCCAUUUUCGACAAGGGAAAGUAACUAUAACACUAAAGGUUGUCACUUUAAUAAUCGAUCUUCCAGUCAACGAAAAUGUAGUAAUUAGCAUCAACAUGAAGAAUGAAUGCCAUCAGUUAUUGGGUGCCAUGUUGUUUAAGGAUAAGGAUGAUACAAAAUUAGAUGGGAAUUGGUUGAAAUGCAUGUGGUUAGAAAGACUUGUCAAACUUACCUAUAUUGUAGAGGAGAUGGACCAGUACACUAGAGUUAGGAUGCUUUUUACUGGGUGACCCAAGAACAAAUUGAUGGAUUCAACGGUUGUUGCCUACUACAAACAUGGGCAUCGAUACAAAUGGAGUGGUUAGCACCAUUGGUUCCCAACCAUGGGGUUUUCUUUUCAAUAGAAGGUGAAUAUCGUAUAUAAUAUUUUAAAAUAUAAUUAAAAAUAUUUAUAACCCAUAUUGCAUUGAAAUGUUUAAACAAAUUCAGAGGUUGAUUAGAUAGCACAUGUUAUAGAAGGGAUUAGACUUUGAUGCGACCAAAAAUAUAUCGGCAAUCUUAAUUCGGUUAGCAUCGACAUUGUUAUCUAUACAGAAGGACGAGAACAUGAGUUUGGGCGUGCUGAAGUAUAUUUAUUUUUCUAUUUAAGGAUUGGGAAGCGAUUAUGUAUAAUUUUUUUCUCUAUUUCUUUUAUAAAUAAUUUUAUAAAAGGUUAUAAUUAUAAAUUGUCAUUAUAAUUAAUCUUUUCCAAUCCAUUGUUUAUCCAAAUAAAUAAAAUUACUUAACUUUCAUUUCCUUGACUAAUAUUAAGUUUUCAAAUAAAAUAAUAAAAAAUUAUAUACUUUAUUAAACAUUUCCCUCUUUUAUUUUCUUCUACUUUCAUUUCUUUGCCACUUUCUAAUCCAAAGGAUUAGUGUAAUUUCAGCAAGGUUAAAUGAAUAUUGAUGACAGUAAAAAUAAAUUAAAAAUAGAAAAACUACAUGAUAAUGGCUUAAUUCCAUUUAUGGAAAGUAAAAGAGAAAAGUGUAGAAUGAAUAAAUUGAAAACAACCUCCAGCAAAGCAAAUUAUGAUCGACACUCACAAAUUAGGUAGUAACCAGUCACAUGCUCAAACCUACGGUACAUUCUCUUGUUGUGUCAAAUCAUAGGCUGAUUUUAGGGCGACAUUUGGAGUGCCCUCUUUUACUCUUUAAUUACUUAGGGUUCGCUAGGUCAAGUACUUGGACAACCAAAUUUAGUGUAUUGUUUAUGAGCUUAGAUUCUCUCAAUCUCUAAGCUCUUUAUCCUUACCCCAAUUAUAGAAAAAAACUCAUCAAUAUAAAUUCUUUGCCUUACCCCAGUUAUCCCAUAAGUUGAUCAAGGGCUCAAUUAACUAUGGAGCCUUUUAUGUAUACAGUUCAUUUAUUUUAUAUUUAUGUUUU